UCUCUCACCUCCCUCAACCGACUAUAUAUAUGUGUUGCUGUGUUGUUUAAUCAAAACGGGGAGCCUUAUGUCUUUUUGAAUCAAAGAUUGUUUUGUCCCUCCUCUUCUCGAUUUCUUCUUUCUUGUUCUUGUUCAUAUUUUUUUCCAGAAAAUCACCAUUUAUCAACAAAAUUACGUGACUUUGCCAUGUGAGAGAGGUAGGGAAAAAGAAAGAAAGAAAGAAAGAAAAGAUGGGGUUUGAUCAGAAGAAAAAGGAGAAAUUUAUCUGGCGUUUGUGUUGAUGAUAAUACUCCUGAACACAAAUAGUUGUAGAGCUGCGCUUCUAGUGAAGAGUAACACCACUUAUCAGCGCAAUGGCCGCCUUGACGCAUGCCGAAUUGCACAAGAUUUGGAGCUGGAGUUGGACUUGCCGACCAGUUCAAACGUUAUCAGAAUCCUCCAGGGUGGUAGCGGCACAGUAACUGGUGGCACGACCAAUCGUAAUAGACCAGCUCAAAAUAAUUGCCCAACUGCAUACGGAAAUUGUAUUGCCAACGGAGGUAACGCUGACUGUAGGAACCUAUACUCUUGCGGCCGACAGCAACAAGGUUAAGUCCCUACGGUAGCGGGGAACCGUCAAAUAUCAACUCUAUGUCCUGCCUGCUUUUGGAAGCUCCUUCUGUGCGUUAUGUCCCUUUCAUCUUUUUGUGCUUGUAUGCUAUUUUACUUUUCCUGCAGCAUGAUUCCUGUCGUUAUUAGAAGUGUGUUGGUAAUUGGGCCGAGCGAGUAUGAAUGGAAAGAAAUUAAAUUGCCCCUACAGUUGUAUCAGUUUACUAAUAAUGCUAUCGUCUGGUAAUGAUUUUCCGUCUCCAGAUUUUGGUUCGAUCAACCAUUUUCCGACUUCCAAAUUCACUGCAUCUAAACGUCAUUACUAUAAAUUUAAGCCACUCCAGAUAUUUUCAAUAAUUUCUUUUUUCUUUCUUCAACAAGUGGGAAGAAUUUAAAGAGGAGUAUAAUAAGAAAAAAAAUUCAAAAUUGCAAUAAAGAAAUUGUUAAUCUUAUAUUAAAAAUUCGCGUUUUAUAUUAUUGUUAUUUCAGCACUCGGCUUAAUUCUUGUUGACUCCGCCACUGUCGUUGUUAAUCCGUAAAUUAGGGUCUUUAUCUUAAAUUCAGUUAUUGUUGAUGGUUGGACUAAAAUCGCUAUGCAACUUGGAGUUUGGACCUACUUUCCACCUUCGUAUCUAUCCUUGUUAGUAGGUUUUGUUUUUCAUUGUUCUUUUCUUCUUCUUGUGUUCUCGUACUAAUGAUUUCAUUAGUUUCUCUUAGCAAUUAAUUUCUGUCUUUUACUUUAUCUGAUCCCGAAAUUCAGAUUCCUAAACCUGAACUAAAGUUUGGAAUGUUUUUCUUUAUAAAAGAGGUAUUAAGAUUAUUGAGCUAUAUAUAUGUAUAUGUAUAGCUACGAGCCAUUUUUAUUUUUACUUGGAAGGUAGAAUAUUUCAUUGAUGUAAAACAAGGAUACCAGAUGCCUGAUCAAGUCUUUAGCCUAAGGGAACAGGCACAAGACUGAGUCCUGAAUACCCUUCCUUGUCCAAAAAACACAAAAACGCUUUACACAGCCAACAGCCAUCCUGUGGCUAGUAGCAGAAGCCACCGGACUGGUCUCAACCAUCCCUGUGUUCCAGUACAUUUAAUUACACGCAGUUCCCAGAAACACAGGUAACGACAGUUCUCCUUAAUUCCCACAGCCCAGUGCCAUUAAACAUAUUAUACACCAAGAAUUCCGCCACUCAACUCUCCAAAAUGGAGCAUCUCUCUGCAGCCUUCUAUACCUAUUGGCCCCAGACUUCCUACCGCUUCAUCAACCACCACUUUCCAAACAUAUGACAUAAUUUUCUUAAUUAAUUAUUUAUCUGAUCUUAACGGAUGGGCCAAGAAGACGAAGACCAAGACUAAGACUAAGGGAAGACAUUACCAUCUUCCUCUAUAAUAUGUCCUUGUACUUUAGCACUUUUGCUUUUCACUUUGAUUUAUUAUGUAUCAUAUGCUUCACACCUUGCUUUCCUUUGUGCUUUCCAGCUUUUAUUUGAUUAAAAUGGUCCUCCCCCCAAUAAUUGAAUUCUUUAUUCAAGAAGCAAAUAGAAAGGGAUACCUGUUAAUUAUGAAAGAUCAAAUCAUAAUUUUUUAUUACAUAAUUUUAGACUAUACAAAAGAGAGAUAAUAUUCUUUUAUUAUAUCUCAUAAAUCUUAUUUUAUCUAUUUCAAGAUUGGAAUCCAAAAUCUUCUUAAAUUUUAAUUAUUGGUUGGGUAUUCUUUUAUGGACAGUGUUAACUAAAAUUAACCUGCGGAAAACCAAAUAUUUCAAUUUUAUGUUUGAUUGCUUUAUUUAUUUAUUAUGUUAGGCCAAAGAAUUUUUUAAAUUGAGAAAAAAAAUACACAAGGAGAGGCAAAGGAAAAAAAAAUGUCUCAAAGACCCUAAAGAUAAAGCAAAUAGAGGAUUCUAGAACAAAAAACCUUCCAAAACAUAACGAACAUAUAGACCAUAACCCCAAAGCAGCUAUGUAAAACAGUAAAACUAGAUGCAUUCACAAAAGAACAGACCACCUAGUAAGAGAGCCUAGCAGCAUUUACAGGAAUCGAGAUAAGAACCACAAUUCACCACCAUGCCAUGAACAUGUCAGCUCUACAAACAGCAGACUUUGCCAAAAACUCCGCUCUAGAAACCUGGCAGUAUGUUUGAUUAUUGAUUUGCUUUAACUUCUGGUAAUGGUGUGAGGAGGCGAAACAUGAAAGUUUAAAGCUAAAAGUUUAUUCCCUUCUUUAUUUUUGCGUUAUGGAAGUAAUCAAUUUUGUGGACAGGAUAAAAAGGAAGUAUGUGAUCAGAUUAAAAAAUUGGUGUUAUAUAGUUUGCAUAUUACUAUAAAUCGUAUGAAUUAUGUUUUGAUUUUUAUAUCAUUUCUAUCAUAUCAUGAUCUGAUCACUUCUUGGAUGCCUAGAUUAUAAAUUUAGCAUAUAAUAUAUUAUAGUUAAUGAAUUUAAUUAAUUCGCAUUUGGUGUUUUACUAAUAAGCAUUAGCUCUUUUCUCUUUAUUAUUAUUUUUAUGACCGCAAAGUAUAUGUUCCAUUCAAGUUGGCCAAUAAUAUUCAUUAUUAUAUUUAAUAAAAUAUAUUACUUUUAUGCUACGCAUUUUUCGCUUUCAUUUCUUUCUUUUAUUGAUAUUAUAAAAUUGAUAGUAUGAAGUAAAUUUAUUUUUAAUCUAUUUAAAUAAACAUGUAAGUUAGAUUCUUUGCCUUUCAAAAACAAAAAAAAUAAACAUAUAAACAUAUUAUAUUUAUCAUAUAAAUAAACAUAUAAGCAUAUUACAUUACAAUAUUAAAAUUAAAUAAUUACUUUCCACUAGAAGAAAAAAAUUAAAUUUACUUUUAAUAUUUUCAUUAUAAUUAAUUAGCAUUAAUUAUUAUAUUAUUUUUUAUAUCAUGAUUGAUAGUUAAUUGAUACGCUUUUUAUGUAAAAUUUCAUAAAUGACUUUGACAAUUAUAUAAUAAGUAAAUAAUUUUAAUUAUAUUAUUUAAUCAUAUAUUUAUUUUAUUUAAAUAAGUGUGUAUGCCACUCUUUUAAUUUACUUUUAUUUAAUAAGAAUGUUAUUAUGUCAUUUUAUUAUUUCGUUUUCCCACUUUUUUCUUCUUCAUUUUCUUUUUUUUUUCCUCUUUCUUUUAAUGGGUUAAAGUAGUCAAUUUUAUCAUCUUCCUCCUCCCUCUCUCAUCGUUUCUCACUCUCUUUUUUUUGUCCUAUUUCUUCUAUUUUCCCUAAUCUUUCUCUCUUCCCAAUUUCCCCUCUCUUUUGUCACAAUUCCGUUCUUUUUCUUUUCUUUUAUUUUUGUUAAAAGAACACGUUAAGUAUCCAAGAAUAGUCUAAGUCAAGUGCUAGAAAUUAAAUCCUUUGGGAGGAUUCUUAGGAGAUCUUCAGUCGUAGGCGGUGGUUGUUGUUAUUAUUAACUAGAGUGGUGCCCCGCUUUGCAUGGGGUUAAUUUUUUAAUAAAGAAUAAUUAUAAAUUACAUACAAUUAUAAAUAAAAUAAUAAUAAUAAUUAAAAAGUAAUUUUAAAUUUGAAAAAAUUAUAAAUAAUAGUAAUGAUAAUAAAUGAAAGCUUAUUAUUUUAAAAAAUAGAUAUUUUAAAAAGAUUUUCUUAUGUCUUACUAAGUAAAAUUUUUUUUUUAAAUAAUUUUUUUUAAAAUUUAAUUUUUUAUAUCUUAAUAUAUGUUAAUAUUAAUAUAAUCAUAUUUUGUUAAUUAUGAUGAUUCCAGUAGUAAAAUAAAAUUAAAAUUGANUUUUUAAUUUUUGCAAAGAUUUGAUAUUUUAUAUCUUAAUAUAUGUUAAUAUUAAUAAAAUCUUACUUCAACUUUCAUCAACAUUUUUUUAUCCCAUGUCUUUGUAAUUAUUUAGAAUUAAUGCACCUUGUGAAAAUAAUCUUGGGAUUGCCCAACAAUUUUAGAAAGUACUUAUUAAAUUUAUUAAAUUAAAUUUUUUAUUUUUAUUUAUUUUUUAAAGUAAUUUGAUAAAUUUAAUUUAUAGAUAAAAAAUAAUUACAUUAAUAAAAUAAAUUGACUAAAUCUAAAAUAGAAUCGGUUAGGGCUUCAGUGAAUCCAACCCACUUCUUCUUUUUCUUCUUUUUGUAUCCAUAAAACGACGUUGUUUUGAUUUUCCCUAAACCUAGCUGGCAACCCCUUUCCCUUUUCUUCAUUUUUGCUCGCUUCUUCUUCUUCUUCUUCUCCCACUGACCCUAGCAACCAACCUGUUUCUCUAAACCCUCCCUCCCUGACUCGGUUCCAGACGUCACCUCUUUUGUCGGACUGGGCAUUUUCGGCAAUGACUCCCUCUUUCUUUCCCUUUCCUUUUUUCUUCUUUUCUUCUCUUCCCCUUCCUUCUGCUUCCAAUUUCCUCUCUUUCUAAAAUGACCUAGCCACCGUUCCUCUCGAAGUGCAAGUUUCCUUCACUCUGUUGUUUUUGUUUUUUUUUUUUGGAGUGGUUUUACUUUGCUUCCUUGCCUAUUGAUGUUUUUUGGAGUAAAACUCAAUUGAACCAAAGCCAGAGCGCGAGUUGGUUCUAGUGAGCAUAAAAAGAAAAUACCACACAUGCAUCCUCAACAAAUCAAAUAAUAAUGAGAUGAUAUGGAGUCUUUUGAAUGAGAUGCUGUGGUUACUUGUAAAGACGUGUUAUCUGGAGUUCAGAAUUUUGGAUUGGAUUGCAACCUGUUUUUUAUUGAUCUGGAAUGAGUUACUGAGCAGGGGGAUUUUGGUAUGACUUUAUAGCUUCAUGCUGGUUUUGAAUCUUCAUCUGUUUGUAAAUUGCUGAUAGGGAUGUUUGUUUUUGGUGAUCUAUUUUUUGAUGGCUUCUCCUAGGCAGUUUGUCAAUAUGAUUUUGAGAUGAUAUGAUGAUCAAGGCAUAGCAUCUUAAAAUCAUCUGCUUUGUUUUUGUAUCCGGGAACUUAUCCCUAUUUUUCGAUGAAUGAAAUCCAUUAAUUUAAAAAAAAUUAAAUCAAAUAAUAUUAUAUAUAUUUUGAACAAAUGUCAUCCAAAAAGAGCCACGACAUGGCUAAAUUUGAAAACCCUUUGGGGAUUCUUUUUACUUAUGAUAUAGAUAUAAAUAAAUCUCUUAACGGAGUGCUUUUGGCAUAAAUAACGGUAUUGAUAGUAGUAAAAUAGAUAUGUAAUUUUGAUAUUUAACUUAAAAAUAUCGCAAUCAAUAAUGAGAAAGCAGGAAACUGAGGAUUCGAGAUCCUUUAUGAAGCCACUAAAAUCCUUUGCUUUAUGUGAAUAGACUCGUAAAGUAAAAGCAGAAAGAGCAGGUAGCUUUUAAGAUAAUAUAUAUGUUUGAGGGAGUUUCCUGACCUGAUGAGAACAAUUAGGCCAGCAGGUCUAAGUCUAAAAGUGAGAAAGAUGUAUUCCACCUAAAGACGUGGAGACCGAUUAGGUCCACAAAUGACUCAACUCAACCAAGCUGUUGAAAUUUGUUUAUUAAAUGAGUUUAACUUUGAACAUAAACGCACGCUUGUUUAACUAGUCGUGUUGGAAUAUUUUGGGUGUUAAACAAUAAUAGAAGCCUAAGAUAAUAGAAGAAAGAGAUUGGAAGAAACAAUAAUAGAAGAAAGAGUUGAAAUUAAGUGAUCUUUUUUUGUUUUUUUAGGUUUCGUUUUAGUUCAUUUUUUGGUGUUGGUACGUAUGUUCUUGAUUGAUCUUCUUAAUAUAAUGAUGUAUAAGCUGUUAUAUUAAUAAAACUUUGCUUUAAUUGAGAAAAAAACAUUUCUAACAAAUCUAAAAAAUUUGUUCACAUUGGAUCAAUUUUUUUACCUAUGCUUAGCUCAUUUCUUUAAUUCACACGUGUAAACUGUUGGACGCUCUACUUUUUUGGUCCAUGGCAAUGUGUCUUUCCAAGCAUCGAGUGCUCAAUUGAGGCAAUAUAAAAAGGCUCAAACUUUUUUUAGGGAAAGCUGUAUGCAUAUACAAACAUAUAUAUAGAUACAGUAUGUAGCCAUUCCAUAAACUUAUAUUUCAGUAGAGAAAGAAGUCUUUAAACUUCGUUCUCAUUUCCUUCCAUGGAGAAUAUCUCAAUGAUAAUUCCCAUAACCUUUCUCGUUCCUUUCUUUCAGUUUGCUUUCUUUAUUACAUCUGAGCAGCCCCCAUAUAUCCCAACAGAUAAUAUAACCCUGAAUUGUAAGGCUCUUUCCGAUUCACAUGGUUCGGAUGGCCGCUUUUGGGCUGGAGACAAGAGCUCAAAAUUUGGUCCUUUCGAAUCAUCCCGUGACAAUCCGUCAGCACCCUAUGAAGCUGCUAAUCAAGGUGGCUUUGUAAAGACAGUCCCUUAUAUGAACGCCCGUGUCUCUAGUUCCGAAUUCAAGUACAAUUUCCCCGUUAGUCCGAGCCAGAAAUUCGUCGGGCGCCACUUUUAUCGGGCUUCAUAUAAAAAACUUAAACCUAUCCAAGGCCUUUUUCUCUGUCAAAGCAGGUUCUUUCACUUUACUGAAAAAUUUCAGUGCUUUCCUUGUUGCUGAAUCAUCAAACGUUAAAUCAUUUUUUAGAGAGUUCUGCUUGAAUGUAGAAGAGAAUCAAGGGUUGCAACUGAUUUUCAGUCCAACUCCUAGUUCUUCAAAUGACACAUACGCUUUCAUCAAUGGAAUCGAGAUCGUGUCAAUGCCUCCCAACCUUUACUACACACCAUCAGAUUUGUUAAAGGGUGAUCGUUUUAUUGGCCAAAAAAUUGGGUUUUAUGUUGAUAAUUACACUGCACUUGAGACGGUUUAUAGAUUGAAUGUUGGUGGCAAAUCCAUCUCACAAACGGAAGAUAUUGGCAUGUUCAGGCUAUGGCCUGAUGAUUGAUUAUAUUUUGAGUGAGAGCUAUUCCACUGUCAACACCACAGUACCACUCAACUACGCUACGAUUCCAAAAUACACUGCACUGGAGGAGGUUUAUCAGACAGCUCGGACGAUGGGUCCUGAUGGUGAUUACAACAAAAAAACACAACAUAACAUGGGGAUUGCCCGUGGAUUCAGGAUUCACGUAUAUUGUAAGGCUUCAUUUUUGCAAAUUUCAAGAUGUGAUAAGUUCAGUGGGAAUAAGACAGUUCCAGAUCUUUAUAAACAAUCAGACGGUUGAAGCAGUUUUUGACGUAAUUAUUUGGACUCAGCAAAGCAAUGUUCCAAGUUAUAAGGAUUAUGUUCUGUUGAUGUCAAAGGAGGAGAAUAAGCAGGAUAUUACUAUAGCACUGCACCCUAAGUAUUACAAUGUUAUCUUAAAUGGAAUUUAAGUGUUCAAAGUGAACGGUUCUGAUGGCAAUCUGGCCGGACCCAACCCUGAACCAUUGCUGGCUUCACCACCUCCUGAAUCGUUCAAUCCUACAAGUGGAAAAUCCAAGAUGAAGCGAAGAGUGCUUGUUGUGGAAAUUACAGAAUUGUCUCUAAAAACUUACCUUAGAUCUUACCCAAUCUAUAGAAUAAAGAAAAAAAAAUCAAACACACCCACAAGAAUACAAGAAUAUACGUGGUUCAGUAUUUGAUAACUUACGUCCCCAGCCAAAGCAACAGAGAAAGAUUCACUAAGAGAAAAAUUUAUUUUUUCAGAAAAAUCAAGAGAUUACAAGAACAAUCUCAAACUCACAACCCUUAUCCCACGUACACCCAAACCACUAUCUCUAAAUCUAAGUGAUAAUUAUUCUUUAGCCUCAUAGGGUCCUUUUAUAGUGCCAAAUUCAAUAAUCUUAUCAUAAUACAAUUAGAAUAUGUUAUUCUAGUCUAACUAGAUUUAAAGACUAUUUUAAUAAGGUAUACAAUUUUAAAUAGAAUUAAACAAUUCUAAUUAAAUCACAAUUCAAGACUAUCCUAACAAAUCUCCACCUUAGGCAUGAAUUCACCAAGCUCUACCUUACGAACCAAUCUCUGUCAACACCACCAAUGCCCCAAAGGGCCUCAAGCACUACGGACACUGAUCAAGUCCAAGCAAUGCUUCAACUUUAUCCCAGAAACUAACUUAGUCACCAUAUUUGCUAGGUUUUCAACUAUAGUUAUUUUCUUCACUAUAAUCUUAGCUCUAGAAACAAUCUCUCGAUGAAGUUAUACUUGACUUGGAUAUGUUUGGUUUUCUCAUGAAACAUUUGAUUUUUAGUCAAGUCUAUGGCACUUUGACUAUCACAAAACACAAGUAUAUAUGCUUGUCCAAAACCAUGAUCACUAGCCAAGCCUUGAAACCAUGAAGCGUCUUGUCUCGGUCACAGCCAUAUAUUCAGCUUUAGUUGUAGACAAAGCAACUAUUACUUUCCAACUGAUUGCAAACCUUGAGAGAGUGAACACAUACCCCAUUCGAGAUCUUCUACUAUCUAGAUUACCAGCAAAAUCUGAUUUGGAAAGGUUAACCACAUUACAACUAUUAUUUGCACCUCCUUCACACACUAAGCCAACAUCAAUAAUACCUUUAGGUGUUUUCAUAAGCACCCAUGUUUGAUCCCAAUGUAAAGACUCAAUCUUCUUAGGAGACUUGGCAUACGUAAUUGCCUCAUGAUAAAAGUAAGGCUCAUCAAUAUCUACUUCCACAAAUAAAACAUAAGAAUCAAAAUCACCACCAAUACAAGUAAUGUUUUGUUGAGAUACCAAUUUUUGUACCUCUUGCAGUUUAUUUUGGAUUUCACUAUCAUCCCACACUGUCACAAGAGCAUUGAUUUCAAGCUCCACCUGCAUGCCAACUUCCUGGUUUGAUGUGAUUGUAAUUCUAGACUUUAUCCCACGAAGUAAUGUUGACUUGUCAAAGAUAACAUUCUGACUCACCACAAACUUGGGGAACUUACAAUCAAUACACCACAAUUGAUAACCCUUCACCCCAAAUACAUAUCUUAGGAAUAUGCACUCCAUUGGCCUCAACUUAAGUUUACCAUCACUCACAUGAGCAUGAAUAGGAUAACCAAAUACUCUUAAUAUAGAGUAAUCAGCGGGUUUACCAAACCAAACUUCCUCGGGAGUCUUAAAUUCAAUUGCAGUUGAUGGAGAUCGAUUUACCAAGUAGCAAGCCAUGUUGAUAGCUUUUAUCCAGAAUACUUUAGUUAGGUCAACAUUAGAGAGCACGUACUUUGCUUUCUCCAAAAGUGUUUUCUUCAUCCAUUCUACAAUACUGUUUUGAUGUGGUGUUUUGACGACAGUGCGAUGUUUAACGAUUUCCUAAUUCUUGUAGAAUAGACUAAACUCACUUUUUCAAAAUUCCAAACCUUUAUUUGUUCGAAAGCUUUCAAUCUUUUUCUUAGUCUGCUUCUUGAUCAAUGCUUUCCAAUGCAAAAAAUUGGUUAACACUUCACUCAUAGCUUUCAGAAAAUACAUCCACACAUUUCUUGAAAAAUCAUCAAUAAAGGUCCACAUGUAUAAUGAUCCACCUUUUAAUGCCACUAGAUAAGGAUCCCACAAAUCUGAAUGGUUGUAGUUUACUGUACUUUUGGUUCCAUGAGUUGUAGUGCUAAAUUUCACUAUAUGUUGCUCACAGAAAUCUAGUUUUUCAGUCUUUUGACUACACAGUAAACUACGCUUACUUAGUUUUUUAAUCCUCCUCUCGCUCAGGUGGCCUAAUCUCAUAUGCCAUAAACUUGUUACAUCAUCUUCAGGAUCAUUAGAUGAGACCACAGAAACAGUUUCAAUGAUCGUGUUUCUCACUAGACAAUAAAGGUCACUGGAUAACUUGCCCUUCAUGAUAAUUAAAGCUCAUUUAAAUACAUUUAAGACACCAUCUUGGCCCCUAUAUUCGUAGCCUUUUUUAUCAAACAAACUCAAGGAUUUCAAAUUCUUUUUCACGUCAAGGACAUGUUUCACCUCAAGUGUUCUUACCAUACCAUCAAACAUGUUAAUUCGAAUUGUGCCAAUCCCAACAACUGAGAGAGAGAAAUCAUCUCCUAAUUGUAUAGUCCCCAUAUCAACAGAUUGAUAAGUAGUAAACCAAUCAUGCGUAGGACAUAUAUGAAAGUAGCAAGCUAAAUCCAAGAUCCAUGUAUCCAUUAGGUUAUCGUUGAUAAUUGCAAGAACUUUAUCAGUUUCCUUAAAAGUAUCAAAGUCAUCUACAACUACGUUUGUAGUACUUUCAGACUUAUUGAUCUUUUCAUCAUCCUUGAAUUUGGCACAGUCUUGAUGGAAGUGCCUUUUCUAACAACAAUUCCAGCAAGUUUUUCUUUUUGCUCUAGAUUUACCUUUUUUGUCAAUAUCCUUCUCUCUAUCUUUUCCUCUAUUCAUAACCAAACCUUCUGCUUGAUUUUCAUUCUUGAUACUACCAACUCUCUUCUUCAAUUCCUUGGAAUUUAAAGAUGCCCUUACAUCCUCGAAAGUGAGAGUGUCUCGGCUAUAUAACAUAGUAUCUAUGAAAUUUUCAUACGAUGGAGGCAAAGAACAUAGAAGAAUUAGGGCUAGGUCUUCAUCCUCAAUUUUAAUAUCUAUUUUUUUUAAAUCAAGAAUAACUCUAUUAAAUUCAUCAAUGUGAGCAUUAAUGGACGUACCUUCACUCAUCUUGAAAGUAUACAAUCAUUGCUUCAUAUAAAGUCGAUUCGUCAGGGAUUUGGUCACAUAAAUAUUUUCGAGUUUAGGUCGCACUGUAGCAUUAAAUUCUUCAUCCGUGACUUCUCUUAGCACCUCAUCAGACAAAACUAGGAGAAUAGCACUAUGUGUUUUUUCAAUAAGGUCAUCUUUCUCACCAUCAGAUAAAUCUGCGAAAAGAUGCUCUUUUCCCUUCAAUGCCUUUAACAGUCCUUGUUGUACUAGCAAUGCACGCAUCUUAACACACCACAAGCUAAAAUCAUUUAUUCCAUUAAACUUUUCAAUCUCAUACUUGGUAGAAGUUGCCAUAAUGAGAUUUAGAUUGACUCAAGACCUCGAAGCUCUGAUACUAGUUUGUUGUGAAAAUUAUGAAGUUGUUCCUAAAGUAUUGCCCAAGAUCUUACCCAAUUAAUAAAAUAAAGAAAAAAAAUGAAAUCAAGCACACCCACAAGAACACAAGAAUUUACGUGGUUCAAUCUUUUGAUGACCUACGUCCACAAGCACAACAACAGAGAAAAAUUUACUAAGAGAAAAAUUAGAAGAUUACAACAACAAUCUCAAACUCACAGCCCUUAUCCCACGUACACCCAAAUCACUUUCUCUAAAUCUAGGUGAUAAUUAUUCUUUAGCCCAAUAGGGUUUUUUUAUAGUGCCAAAUACAAUAAUCUUAUCAUAAUACAAUUAUGAUAUAUUAUUCUAGUCUAACUAGAUUUAAAGACUAUUUUAAUAAAGUAUACAAGUUUAAUUAGAAUUAAACAAUCCUAAUUAAAUCAUAAUUCAAGACUUUCCUAACAGUGCUAAUUGCUGGUGGCGGGUGUACAGUGGGUUUGCUUACCUUGCUUUCUCACUAAGGGGUCUUAAUUGGUUGACAAAGUUUAGCCUAUUAGACCCCUUUACUAGUUAAUUAAGGUGCCUUAAGGACCUUACUUUUAUCUACGUACUAGAAUAUCUCUCAUCGUUUCUCACUCUUGUUUUUGUCCAUUCUUGAUUUUUUUUUAUUUUUUCUAAUUAUUCUCUAUUUCUAUUUUUCCCCUUUCUUCUGUCACAAUAGUAAUACAUGACGUUAAAAGAACACGUCAUGUAUCCAAGAAAAGUCCAAGUUAAGUGCUAGAAAUGAAAUCCUCUGAAGGGAUUCUUUAUAGUAAGUAGUAGUUUUUGUUAUUAUAAUAAAUACAUAGAACUUCUAAAUGAUUAAUAAAUAGCUCUUUUAAGAGGAUUCUUCAAUAGUAGGUUUUUGUUGUUGUUAAUAUUAUUAUAAAUAAAAAUAAAUAAAUAAAAUUACUACAUAUUUAAUAAAUAGAUGGGAACGUGUUAGAAAAAGAAUCUCUUAGUGGAGUGCUUUUUAUAUAAAGGUAUUGAUAGUAAACUUCAUCUCUCCUUUACUUGGUGGCUCCCAAGCACCUUUUUCUUUGACGAUCCUCUUUUCGGCCUAGUCACAAAUAAAUUGGGGUUUCUAGCUAUUCCUUCUAUUGAAUCGCUUUUUUCUAGCCACUUUGCUUUUUCCCACCAUGCGACCCUUAAUCUAGCCACAUCGUUACAUUGUUUCCCAUCCUAACCUUUUUCUUGGAAUACAACUUCAUUCCUCAUGAGCCAAUCAACCAAAUAAUCUCAAAGAAAACUAAUCUCUUAAUUUUCUUUUCCUCUACUUGAACCAGCAUUCCAAGAUAAAAAGAAUUGUAUUACCAUCAUCUUAACAACCCAAAAAAUUCCCCAUUGUUCACUCCACUCAUUCCAAAUAUUCCAACUCUCUAUACAUUCAAAAAAUAAAUGGUCGACACACUCUCUCUUUUCCUUACAUAGUAAGCACACAUCCAAAUUCCCCUUCAAUACUCCCAUUUUUGCCAAUUCUUCUUUUAUUGCAAUCCUACCUUUCAAGACCCUCUAGCAAAAAACCUACACCUUUGAAGAGGCCACCUUGCCUUAAACCUUCCUUUAGUGCUAUUUCGCCCUACUUUCAUCACUUACUGCUACUUGACAAUAUGAUCUAAUCGAGUAGUUUCCUUUUGGUGUCCACUUCUAAAUAACCUUAUCUUGAAAGCCCUCAACCACUGGGUUUUCUCUAAAGGCUUCAAGGAAUGCGUCCCAUUGUUCUUUCUCCCAUCCUAGGAUAUUCCUUCUAAGCUCUAUUCUCCAUUCCCUAAAUUCCCUAACUACACCUUUAUUUCUUGCUAGUGCAUAGAUCUUGGGGAACUCUCUUCAAAAUCAUCUGUUUAAUCCACUCCUCAUUCUAAAAGGAGAUGUUUUCCCAUUCCCCAAGCUAUACCAAUCCCAUUAUUGAUCAAAUCAUGGCCUCUAGCCCUUGAAUUUAAAGGUGUCACUAUGUUUCUCCAAACAAGAGACUAUCUAUUACUAUUUCCUGGUUUAAGGAUAAACCCUUUUUGCCCACCUCUUUUUUUCUCCAUCAACACUCUCCUUCAUAAGUUAUUUUUCUCAUUUUCAUACCUCUAUAUCCACUUGUUCAAGAACGUCUCAUUUUUAAUUUACAAAUCCACCAGCCUUAACUUAACGUACUCCUUAAGUACACAUUAUGAUCCUCAAUCAAUAAAGUGCACCCUUCUUUCCUGAGCAGAACACCUCAAAAGGAAUUUUUUUUGGAUUUUGUCAAGUUCUUCCUUCACCCCCACCAGCAUACAAAAGAAGGACAUAAAAAGAAUCGGGAAACUAGCUAAAAUUGAUUUCAUUAAGGUUACUCUACCACCCAUUAAAAGCAUUUUCCCUUUCCAUCCCGUAAGUCGAUUUUCAAACUUUUCAAUUACUGGUCUCCACAUUUCCUAAUUAUUAUUUUGUGCUCUUAGGGGAAGCCCUAAGUAACUAGAUGAAAACUCUUCCUUUCUGCACUUAAACUUCCUAGCCCACUCAACUAACACCAUAUUGUCAAUUCCCACUCCAAAAGACUACUCUUCUUAAAAUUGAUUUGGAGCCCUAAAAUGAGUUGGAAACAUCUAAGAAUUCUCUUAACAUUCUGAAGUGACUCUCGUUCUAGCUUACACACGAUUGCCAUGUCAUUAACAUACUAGAGAUGAGACAUCAUAAGUCCCUUUUGACUUAUUGUAGUCUCUUUGCAAAUCCCAAGUUGCAUUGUUUUACUCAUGAUCACACUCAAUGCCUCAACAACACAGUUAAAAAGAAAUGACAAUACAUAUAAUAUUAUAUAUAUUUUUAUAAUUAUAAUUUAUAAUUUAUAUGUUUUGGUUUUGAUUAAUGGACUUCCACUUCUGUCACGACCUGGUACUCCCCUCGAGCUUGUGACAACUGUCGCGGUGUCCCGAUAGACACUCAUCACCCGAAAUGUCAACUGGAGCCUCGCAAGGCUUUAAUAUCAGUUUCUCAUUCCCCCUGUGAGUAACCGUUGCUAAAUAUCAUAUUCUAAACGAUUUUAAGUUAUUUUCAACUAAAAAUAAAUAAAAUAAUAAUUUUCGUCUCAUAGGGGUAUUUUGGUCAUUUUUUCCAAAAAUUUCAAAAUUCGCUAAAAAUAUAGUAUGCUAGUACAAAACACAUAAUUCAUACUUAAAAAUAAGUUUAAACGUCUAAAACUUUCAUUUAAAAUGAAAUUAUAAUUAUUUGAAUAUAAUAAAAAAAUAAAAGAAAUAUUCAAUAAAAUAUUUUAUUUUCUUAUAAAACAAUAUUUUUAGAGUUAUACAUAAAUAAUCUUUGCAGCGUAAAAGCAAAAUAAAUUCAUACAUACUGUAAUACAGUAAGCCAGAGUAUUUAAUUUAAUUUACAAUAACCAGUAGGCUCCCGAAUAACUAAAAGUAAAGAGGACUGUGAACCUACAGUUUGGAGGAUGCAAAUCCAAUAGUAGCCUUGAUGAAAUCAGCUAUCUACAGCCUAUUCUGAGCUUGAAAUGGAUGGAAAGGAGGGUGGUAAAAUUAUAUAAUCCCAGUGAGUAAACAAACAUCAUUCAAAAUAUCUAAAGUCGAGUAAAAAGAUAUGAUUAAAAUAUUUCAUCUAAAUAUGUAUUUCAUAACAUAAAUAUUCAUUUCAUUUAAAUAGUCAACAUGGCUUAUGAGUAUCUUAAAAGCUUGGCUCCUGCCAAAAUCAUUCUCGGGAAUACCUUGGCCGAGGUAUUUAACCGAGUCUACCAAGGUUGUUAAAAAGUUCGUAUACACAUAAACAUAUUUUUAGUUUGAAAAACAUAGUCGUUCCUUGGCGUUAGCGGAGUUCAUUAUCACGAGGUGGUUCGGUGUGACAUGAACUCUAACCAUACCUCAAGAGAUACCCUACGCGCCUCUUCGACUAAGGUACAUAUAUAACCAGAUUUCGUGCCCCUCUAAUAGGCUGGUCCACAGAACCCGCCCACUGCAGCAAGCUAAACCCACUAUAUAAAAAAAUUUUGACAGCAUGACAUGGCUAAUAUAAUACUAUCCAGCCUGUAAAUGUAAAAUAGAGCAAUUCAUACAGUUCACAAAAACACAACCCAACCAGUCAUGCCAACACAUUAACAUAAGCCAUCAAUUCAAAUAAUAAAUUUACAACACCUCAAGUGGUCUCCAGUUACUCUACUUUCAAAGUCAUCAUUCAAUUUCAAGACAAUUUAUAAAAUCAUUUUAUUUAAACACAUUUUGUUUGUAAAACCUAGAAAUUAACCAUUUAAACUCAUAUUCCAUAAAAUUCACAAAAAUCGAAUAAAAAGACCACUUUAGAUAAUUAAAAUGAUGAUAAGGUUACUCAUUAUUUCGAGAGUCAAAUUUUUAAAGUACUUUGACUAUCGAUCCUCGGGUACAAUUUCUUUGCCCUUAGCAGAGGAUUCACCACCUAGACAUGAUGCAAAAUCAAGUAAUUUACCACAUUGGUGCUAAACCGUUAUAAAACUAUAUGGAUGCAUGAAAUGGAAUGCAAAUUGUUCGAAUUAUCGUCUAAACACGGUGUUCGCCUAAUUCGAUCUAUCACUUAAUUAAUUGGCCAAUUCAACUCUAAUUAACUGUAUUUUUCUUUCAAUUCUCCAAACCAUCAAUCACAAAUUCAAUAGCAUAAAAUUUAGCAACAUCACCUUCACAUUUUUCCUUGGGAAUUUCGGCCAUGAUGGGUGCAUCAAUACUAUAAUUUUUUCUACUUGAUUUUCUCACUGAAAUUCAUCAUUUCCUAACCAAAUCACUUGAAAUAACAAUCAAAAUCAUCAUCGAUAUUCCACAUGGAGAAUUCGGCCAAUGAUGGGUAAUGAGAGAAAAAAAAAUUUUCUUGUUGGUUUUUCAUGCUACACAUCAUUAACUAACUAAAAACACUAAAAUACAUUGAAAUCUAACCAAAUCAAGCAUAAAACUCCUCCCCCCAUGUCCGGCCAGCAAGGGAUUCAUCAUGAUUUCAUAUGAUUCAACCAUGGAAAAUCAAAAAGAAUGCAUGGGAAAGGUAGAUCUCAAGCUUUAUUGAAAAAAUCUUACAUUUUUCACUUGUUUCCUUGAAUUUUCACACUUUUCCUUUGAAUUUUUCCACCUAGGGUUCUUGUUCUUUCUUUUCUUCCUUUUUUCUUCUUUGGCCAGCCAUAUGAAUGAGAAAUAGGCUGAUUUUGUGCUGAUUUUAAAGCUAAAUAAUAAAUGGAUAUAAACUUGACACAUGUCACCAUUCUAUUGGUUCAUGUGUCAUACUUACCCAUUAAGCAAUCUCCCUUCACCACUUAAAUUUUCUCAAUUAUCGAUGAUAAUAUUGGGUAAAAUCUAUGUGCUGGAUAAGUGAUGGGUGGUGUAAAAUUACAAUUUUGCCCUUGGAGUGGCAAAAUGAUUAUUUUACCCCUAUGCUUGAAAAAAUGUCGGAAUUAAAAUUUUUCACUUCUCAAACUCAAAUUAUAUUCUAAAUAGUCAAUCUUGAUUAAAAACUUCUUCCAACAUACACAUCUUAACCUCGGAUUACAAAAUGACCAUUUUGCCCCUAGAUCAUGAAAAUUCUAAUUUGACUCCAAAUCGGUCCUCGAACUCCGAAUCACUAUUUUAAGUCAUUCUGAAAUUUUAAAAUUCUCAAUUUCAUCUUAAAAUCUCUACUUUGUCUAAUUCGAGGCUUAAUUUAACUUAGUACUAGGUACACUACCGACUUUUGACAAUUUUUCAAGGCUUUCCAAGUAUGCAAAUAUAUUGUCAAUCACAUGAAUGACAUGGCAAGUAUUUUAUAAGGUCGGGCUUGAUACUUCAGUUCCUCAAUUUCAAGUUAGAUCUUUUGGGUUUCAUAUUAGUAAUUAGUUCAACUUGAAGAAGAAUAAGAAGAACAAAGAGGCCAUUCAUUACCAACCCUUAAAUACUACAAUAAUUGAGACUCCGUUUGCUUUUUGUCCUUUUUCUAAGUCAUUUUAUUUUUAUUUUUUGCUUUUUGUUUCUAUUCAUUUAUUUUGUAAAGAAAAUAAUAACAAAAGUAUCAACUUGUAACACCUUAUCCUAUAUAAUAUCUAAACUAAAAACCCAAAAUAUGACACAAGUCUAUUAUUUAUUAUUAAUAAAUAAUUUGAGCUUUUGUUGGAAUAUUUCACUAAGUAAAUGACUUAUUACAAGCAACUCUUUUAUAUUGGGUUUGAGGAUAUACAAAACUGAAUUUGAAUACAGAAAAAUAAAAAAUUAUAGUUGGAUUUCUCCUUUCAUAGUGAGUAGAAACUUUCUCUUUAUUGAGAAAAGUUUGAUUUAUGGUUAGGUUGCCGAAGUUUAGGUUAAAAGUUUAUUAGGAAUAUUUAGAAAUUAUGCAAUUUAGAUAAGUUUUAUCUAUCACUUGGUUGAAAUUAGAGAAUGUAUUUUUUUUUUCAAAUUGUAAUCUUUCUUUCAUGAGUUAAACAUAAAUUUAGUCUUGGGUUUAAGGUACAUAAGAAUUGAGGAUAAAUCUAUUUGUAUCAUAUAAUUUACGAAUUGAAUUAUGUAUUAAUUUUUAUUUUUUUAAUUAUUUGAAUUUUAUAUGAUUGAAAAGCUAAUUAAUUCUACUUUCUAAUAAAUCAAAUGAAAUUGAAUUUCGUGGUUUCUAAGUAUAGAUAUUUUAUUUUUGUUGAAGAUUGCUCAAAAUUGAUACCAACUAUGGACACUCGCACCCAAUAUGUAAAGUAUUAUCUACUUUAACUUGGAAUUGAAAAUUUUCAUGAUUGUUUUUAUAAAAAAUGUCUCACAAAUAUAUAUAAGUUUAAUUCUCUACAUAUAUAUCACAAUCAAGUCUAAAAAAUUCUCAAUAUGAAAGUUAAGGACAUCACAAUUCACUGUAACAAAUUUAACUUUAGACAACAUAUUUUUAAAAUGUACUACUAAAAAUAUUUUUAAUAACACUUUCUUUAUGUUUUUUAGAACAUUUUGUAAAUCCAACUUCAUUAUAUAAAUUUUUAGAUGCAUUAUGAAUAAAAUGUAACAAUAGAAAUUACAUAUGCUAGCAAAGGUUUUAUUUUUUUUAUAUUGCUACUAAAUGUGAAAAAAACGAAGUUAAAAGUUUAAAUAGUUGCACUUUUAAAAAUUUUACUAUACAAAAAAAUAUGUCGCUUAAACAAGUGUGAUUAAAACUCAAUUUUUUUUGUAGUGAUUAAAAAAAAUGGAUAAUACCUUGCAACUUCCGCCGGCAUUUCCACACAACCAAAAGAGCCUAAUAGUUUUCAAUUCAAGUAGGAACAAGUCUCAUAUAUGUAUAUAAAUAUGUAGUAGAAGAACAUAAAUUUAUGGCGUGCUGCAGGGGCGGCUCAAUAAUCUCAAAAGAUUAAAGUAAAAUAUUCAAAUGAGGCAUUUUCUAUUAAAAUUAAGAAAAAAAUUAAACUUUUAUUCUUCUAGUUUUUUUAGAUGUAAAGUUUCUAAUUAAACUUUUAUAAUCAAAUUCUUCUAAUAUUUUUUAAUAAUUUUUUAUUCAUUAUUUUUUAUUACUUGUAAUAAAUUUAUCAAGUGCUCUUUUUGAUAUUGUAUUAAACUUUCCAUUUUUCUUUUUUAAGCUUUGAAUAGCUAGAUUUAUAUUUUUAUUUGACAUAUUCAAAUAUUUAUUAUGAAGUACAAAAAAUAUUUAGUUAUUAUAAUUAUCUUAUAUUUUUUAAAUGACAAAUAUAAAACCAACAAUUGAAAUUUCUAAUUCAAAUUAAUUAACUAUCACAUAAAAUAAAGACAAUAUAACAAUACAAUAUAAACUCUAAAUUAAAGUAAAAAGGUAUGCAAAAAUUAGAGUAAUAGUACCUAAUUGUUAAAUAUAUAUUGGAAAUCGAAAAUGAGGCUCAUGACUUUAUGAAGAUUAUAGCAUAACAAACUUCCUACGUAAUUUUUUUUAGGACAAUUGAAGUUAAAGAAAAAAGAGCAAAUGAGCAAAGAAAAAUUCAAAAGUGGAUAUUAUAAAUUGAAAAAAAUAAUUAUUUUGAUAUAUAGGAAAAAGUAGCUGAUGGAAAUAUUAAAUACAUAUUACGUUAAUUGAUUAGAAUAGGAUAAAUAAGUGAGAAAAAAUAGCGGUUGAAGAUCAUUAAUUAGAUAUUAUCAUUUUUUGAUUGGAAAUAGGAGAAAUAAUUGAGAAUUCAUACCACUGUAAGAAUUAGGAAGUGAUAAAAAUGGAGAUUUAUUAGGCACAUAAUUUGAAAAAUGAGAGAAUAUGUCAUUUUAUUAAUUAUUUUUUACUUUUACGUAUUUUUAAUAGGGAAUGAAAUAAUUAGUUGAGAAUUAAUAGAAAUAUAAAAGUAAGAAAAAAUAAAUAUUUAUUAGGUAUGAGAGAAUAGAUAAAUAUUUUAUUAAUUACCUUAAUUUUUAUAUAUUUUUAUAUAAUUAAUUAUAUUAUAUUAUAAAAAUAUGAAAUUUUUUAAAUUUGGGACCUAAAGUGGGUGACUUUACACAAGGGUCGGCCCUUGGUGUGCUGUUAUCACGUCUGUACAUCUUUUUAUUAUUUCUUUUACUAAUUACCAAAAGAAAGUAAAUCAGUAAUUAUUGUGUAUUAGUGAAGUUUAUUAAUUAAUUAAAUAAUUGAGAGAUUCGUACUUUGUACAGCAUUUGCCUUUCUUUUAUCUUUUUCUUUUCGACUAACAUUGCUUUGCUGGUUCAAUACUAGUGAAGGGAUAAGUUUUCUCUUUCUUUUACUUUUUUUGCGAAAAGAAAUAGAUAAUGUCUCUUGCGUGGCUGGCUGGCAUGGCAUCAACUAUAAAGUGAUUAAUUUUCAAGUCAUUUCACCUAAAAUUCCCUAUAGAAUACUAUAAAAUUGACCACUAUGCUCUUGAGUCGAAUUAAGACAUUUCAUAAGUAUAUCUUUUUGCAUAUAAGGGAUCCCUUUGCCUCCUCACUCAUUCUUCGUCUGUUUAAUCACCACUUUUCUUGUAAGAGCUUGUCCAGGAUAGUUUCUUAAGCACAGGAAAGAAAAAUGAGAGUUGAUAGAGAGGGAGGAUUAUUUUCUCUAGCAUUAUUUGUAAUGCUAAUGCUCUUCGAGGCAAAUAGUUGCAGAGCAGCAGAAAUGUUAAUGGAGAAGAGCAACACCACUUUCCGUUGCAGUGGCCGCCUUAACGACUGCCUCAUUGCUGAAGAUAUGGAGCUGGAGCUGUUGAUGGAUUCCCACAUUAGCCGAAUGCUCAUCGGUGCGAAUGGAAAAGCUACGAUUGACUUCACCAACGUCGCUCAUAAAACCGUACCAUGUGGCCAUGGUAAACAAUAUGGUCCAUGCAUUAACCCAAACCAAAAGAAAGUUCCGAACAAUUGCGGUACAUAUACCCGCGAUUGCAAGAAGAAAUAAUGCUGCAAAGAAACUUAAAUCAUCCCUAUACGCUGCUUGUAUGAGUGACAUUCAUACUGUUCUUCCCUGUCUUUCUGUAAUAAAUUUGCUUUUCUUUCAUGAGUAUGUGUACUACUUAUUGUCUUAAUUAUCCACUUAUUUGUUAGUCAGUGUUUUCAAAGUUAAUUGAUGCUAUUUUUCCUUCUAUCUGCAAUGGAUAUCCAAAGUCAGUACAGUUAUAAUUACUGGAAUAUUAUCCUGUAACUUAAGAAGAGGGAGAGAGGUUUAACCCUGUAAAUAUAUCAUCUGCUCGCCAACUAUUAAACUUCAUUCUAAUCAAAAGGUCGACAAUUGUAUGGCGUCUAAUUAAUUAAAGAGUGGGUAAUCGUCAAAGGAUAUUCCAAAGAUUAGAAUUUAAAGAGGGAAUGUCUCCUAUUUUAUAUCUUGGAAACAGGAUAUCUCCUAUUAUAUAAUAAAGUUCCAGCAAAAUUCCAUACUUAACUGAGAGGAUAAAGCUCCGUGGUAAUUUAGUUUUUCCAUUUUCUUGGCAAUGCCAGUUUCCAAGUGUUUUCUCCCUUUCUUCGUUUUCUUGUUUGUAAUCAAUCAAGUCUUCUCACGAGAUUAUUGUGUGCUUUACUACUGUUAUUGUCGGUUCAAGACGUACUUUUCCCAUUGCACUAAACAAUCAAAAUUUCAUUCCUGUUCAGCAUUCAUGCGACUAUUUAAUAAAGGUAAUGCUUUACUAGUGUUUAAUCGACAUUCCAAAUCAUAGAUAUACUGUUGCCCCUUUCUUCUUUGGCAAUGAACCCCAUUUGGGUGGAAAGUGCUAAUAAUUCGAUUUUAUUAUCUUUAAGCAAGGACCACGAGCAGGAGAAAACAAUUGUUGGAGGCUGCAGAGAAAUUCUGAGGGAUGCCCAUUUCCAUAUUUUUUUAGUUUGAUUUAGACUAUCAUGUUUCACAUUUCAUGCUUUGCUUUCCAGCUUGAAGUUUAUAUAAAAAAAUAUAAAAUAAUGUAUUCUGGUUUGUGUUUGAAUAUUUACCUUAAUUGGAGAGCUAACUAAAUCCAUCAAACCUCUUGUCAAAACAAAAAGAACAAAAUACCCUCACCUUUUAAUUUUUAAUCAUAAUUUCACACGAAUCUAUUAAUUUUCGAAAUAGAUAAUUCAUUUCAAAAAAAUAUGUUUCGUUGGAUACAUAAAUCCAGUCGUUAGUCAAUCAUUAACGUUUUCAUUAAUUUGAUGACAUGGUAAUAUUGAAGGGAUAAUUUUACCUUUUACUAAUUUAAAAAAUUACCACAUUGUAUAAACUAUAAUUUUUAUUUUUUUCUUGUCAAAAAAAAAUCUCUCCCCUAUCUCUUUUGGCAAUCGGAGUGUCAGAUUUGGCUCUAGUCUGGGAGGCACAACUCCCAUAGGAAGCGAGGGUGGGGGGCAUGGCUACUUUGGGAGUGCAGGGGUGAAGGGGCCGUAACUCCCUUGGGGAGCAUGGGGUGGGCAACUGGCUUGAUAAAAAAAAAAGAAAAUAGUGAAAAGAAGAUAGAAAGAAUAAGGGUAUUUUUAGCAUUUCACACUUGUUCAUUAACAUCGUUUACACGUUUAGGAUGUAUUGUCUAUUUCUAAAAUAAUGAACUCGCGUGAAUUAUUAUUAAAAGUUAAAAAAGUGAAGGUACUCUUACCAAAAAUAAAUGAAAAAUUUAACUCCAAAUUGCUUAUUUAGACUUGCUUACAGUCAAGUAGGUGAUUUAAAACAAGGGAGAAUAAAUGUCAGUAAAGUCAGUCUACCCUGAGGAUUUCUUUUCGAGUACUUUUCAUAAAUGGAUCUCAGGCAUAAGGCGUUUUUUAGAAUGGUCUUCUGCAUAAUUUUAUCUGUUUUUAGCCAAGAGAAAAAAAAUUGGACAAAAUUGUCCUUAAUGAAACCGAUCUAUUCGUUAGGCUCCGCGCCUAAACCCGAAACCUAUUAAUGGGUCAAUUAUAUCCUUUAUAUGGACCACAACUCUUUGGUUUUCAUCGAGAGACCGUACAUAUCCGCAGAAGCAAGUCUAUCAAAAGCAUUCCUUAACAAUUCAACUUUCGAGCAUUUUGGCAGUAGUAGGAGUCUUUUGGAGUAGUUAUUAUUCUUAUAAAGGUAGUUCACAUAUUGAGCAGUGUGAAGAAGUUGACAUUAUGCUAAGAAAGGUAUAAUAUUUUUUUAUGAAUUUUUUAUUUUAUUUUGAACCAUGUGGAGGUUUUUAACAGAAUGGUUAUUGUUCAUGUUUAGGAUUAAGGUUUUUGAGCAUAAGCCUAUACAUAUUGCUUGUUCAUAUUGAUAUUGUUGUUGUUUGAAACUUUUGAAUAUAAACAUGAAGGUGGUAUUGUUGGUGUUGUUGGGUUUGAAAGGUGACCGGCCAUGCAUGACUGGUUGAUAUGUAUGUGUUAUGACCCUUUGUUAGAUAUUGCGUGAGUAAGGGAGUGCUUAGGUGGUUGACACCUUUUGCGUGAGUGGAUUUUGGCAUGGGGUCACGUAGGGUUUGCGUGAUUGCAAAAGGGUGUAACUUUGCGUAAUUGAUUGAUAGGUCAUUGCGUGACUAGUUUCUAGGUCAUUACGUGACUGGAUUCUAGGUCAUUGCGUGACUGGUUUCUAAGUUAUUGUGUGAAUAUUGUUCAGGCAUGGCGUCAGUUAGUGUGUGCGUGAUUCGAUUAGUUGUUCUUAGAAUUACGUGACUUGUGUAUAAAUCAUUGCGUGAUUUAUUGUUAGUAAUUGCAUGACUAAUUGAUUAGGCAUUGCGUGACUAUUGUUGUAGGAAAUUGCACGAGUGUCAUAACUGCAUGAAAUUUAUCUGCAUGGGUUCAUUCUGUAUUUUUUUAGAUCAACUGUAAUGUUUUAAUGUGUAUAUGUUGAUUUACUUAAUAAUCCAUGCUCCACACUUUGAUUAAUUAUUCUAUUCAGGGUUGUCUAAAAACAGUUAAAAAUAUUGUUAAGGUUAUUUUUUGAGUGAGCUUAUGAGGUGGGCUAUUUCUAAGAAAUUCUUGUAGUUUUUUUGUUAAUCUACAAUGAUGGCAUUGACAUGACUAAUAUGGGAAUGUUAUCUGUUUUAUGUUACAGAUGGCCAGCAUAGGAACAGAGCAGGAAAACAUGGAGUCCUUGUUUUGUGUGCCGAGGCAUUGGUGGGGGUUUAAUGCAGGCAUUAACAUCCAUUGUAAGUGGUCGCAUCUGCACGUGAUAUGUGAGAUGUUGUGUCAAGUGAACGAGCUAGAAAGCUUUAAGAGAACAUGCUUUGGGCACAUGAUGGACGUUGAAGCAGACAAGAGUUUAUUCUACGCCAGUCUCAUGCACAAUCUAAUGCUGCACAGAAUCAACGAACCUGACGCCACGGAGGUAGAGUUAUGGUUCGCAAUAGGGAAAACGAAGGCUCGCAUUUCAUAGAGGGAGUUCUAUCUGGUGACAGGACUGAAGUUUGUCCCUUACCGGCAUUCAUUGUCAAUCCCUAUGAGGCCCUCCUUGGAGGAAUUUACCUACGAUAUUGGGGACUUGGGAAAGAGGUGAAGAUCCAAUAAGUUUUAGACACGUUCAAGGGAGGCCAAUUUCAGCAGGAAGGAGACGCAAGCAAGAUGGCCCUCGUCUUGAUCGCAACCGACGCUUUAUUCGAUCAAGACUACAGACGAUCUGUGGUUCCAUGGUUAUUGUCGUUGGUCGAGAACAUCGACGAGUGGAAUGCAUUCCUAUAGGGCACAUACGUGUGGAGUUUGACCGUGGAUUACUUGCUGAGGGGUUUCAAACCUCCUACUGCAAGCGAAGCAGAUAAGAAGUGCUACCACCUCUACAUAUUCAUAUGGGCGUUUCAAGUAGUUUGCCAUAGCCUAAUGUUUAUCAUUAUCAUUAUGUUUUCGUAUAAGAAUUUAUGAGGUGACUAAAAAUGUUACACAAUUGAUGUGCAAUUUUCGACGUUGGAAGAAAUACCUAUAAUCAGAAGCUUGUUCGGAAGGCAGCAGCAGUUCAGACAGGUUUGGCCAAGAAUGCUUAAAUGGCAUUGUGACGAGAAGCCUACAAGCUUCCACGCCAAUAUUGCAAGUGUGGAGAAAAAAGGCAAGGUGAGUAAAGAAACCAUAUUUUUUUUAUUUGAUUAAAUUUUAUUUUUAUUAUCAUAGGGUAGUGAGGGUUAUACUUAAUGGCAAUGUAUGUUUUGGUGCAGUUGUGGGUAGUAAGAACGUUGGAGCCAACCGCAGAAGAGAUGUUGACCGCAUACUAGGUGGACAUUAAAGUCAAUAUCUUUUAGGGGUAUUAAUACAUUCCAUUAUGGAAGUUGGAGGGUAGCCCAGAAUUUGGUCCCCAGCAAAGGAGGAAAAUAAUGAACCGCAAAGGGAAAAGUCCAGUAAGAAGAGCCGUUAAGCGGAGACGCACCGCGGACGAGGAGGUCCAUUUUGAUUUUGGUGCUAUUGAGGCACCUCAUUCUCCUCUUACAGAUGUUCAUGGUGUUUCUCCUGCUGCUCAUCAUGUUGCUACUCCUGCUGUUCCUCCUCUUACUUCGCUGUUGCCCUUUUUCCUGCUUUAGGUGUUGCCCCUCAUUCUGAGCCACGCAAUCGAACGUUGUGUCCGCAAAUGACUACGAGCAUUAAGCGAGAGCUGCAAAAAAUGCGAACACAGUGGAAGAAAUACCUCUAGUCAUUGCAGAUGCAGAUGCAGUCAAUGCAGUUGGAGAUCCAGCAGGUGAUGCAGUUGGAGAUCUAGUAGGCAAUGUAGAUACAAAUGCAGUCAAUGCAGUUGGAGAUCCAGCAGUCAAUGCAGUUGGAGAUUCAAUGGGCAAUGCAGAUGUAGAUGUAGUCACUACAUGAGCAUAUCCAGCACUCAUUGCAAGGGUUGGAGUAUCGAAUUGUUGGUCGACUGAUCGAUCAUUUUAAGGUAUGAGGUUUUAUGUUAUUAAUCGUGUGAGUUAUAACAUGUACGAUGUAUACACUCUUCUAAUGUGUUUGAGUUUUUUGAUCGUUUAGGGUUGAAUCUCACCUCUCGGUAGCCCGAUUAAACAUCAUCCUAUGCCUAUCCCAUCUCCGGUAGAGGUAGCCCAGCAUUCUCAGCCCACACCUUCUCUCGAGGCUCCACCUCCUUCGUUUGAGGCCGAAGAGGGACCUUAUCCUGUGAGUAGUGGAAUACAACUUUCGCCCGUCUUGCUCUUGUCCCAACUCUAGUAGAGGCCCCCCGUAUGGUGAGAUCACACUUUCUGCUAAGGCUCCACCUCCAUUUGAGCCCGAAAAUGCACGUGUGAUCUUGGCAAGCAAAUACCUUCGAAGUCUAUACGUUAACCCGCUAUUAGUCCAGACAAAAAGAAGGACGAUUUGAAGGACAGAUAUGAGUCCUUCCUAAAAAACGACCAAGCCAGGUAAAAUGAAAACAGUAGACCAUAUUAAGGUUAACAGUUUUAGGGUAUGUAUUACAUACAUAGACCUUUUGACAUUGGUAUUAUUAUGUGAAAAUUGUGAGAAAUGACCUUCGUAGUUUGGCAACUUAAUUAUAAUUUGAAUUUAACUCUAUUUUAAAUAUGCAGGGUUGACAUUCUGGGCAUCGAAAGGCAGGAGGGCCCUGAUUUUUUUCGACGAUUAGAGAUGCCGACAAAGUUAAUGGACACCCAACAGAUUGAUGCAUGCAUCAGUGUGUUGUGUAAGCGGGCAUGUAAGCACGAUCCUUAACACUACAAGCAAAGAAUAUGCAUCGUUGAUACCACAUUCUAUGUAAGUAUAUUAUAUUUUACUGAGUUGUAAUUAUUCAAAUGUAUGGGGUUUAGGGUUACUUAAUUGAAUCUAACUAUUGUGCAUAACGUAAUUGACAGCUUAUUUUGCUCCAUCUGAGCCAAGAAAUGCAACCUUUCCCCAUCGAGAAGACAUUCAAGCCGAGUGAGGCGAUUUUGCCAGACGAUGUGCUUGCCUAUGCAAGGGGUAGGAGACCUCCGUGGGUUUACCAUGGCAUAAGGUUGACUCAAUUCUUGUAUCAUGCUUUUUCGAUGGCCACUAGGUGGUAGUGCACGUUAACUUGGUGAAAUGGACAAUGAUGUUAAUGGACUUAUCGUACAGUCGAAAAGAAGCACUGAAGUCCAGCUUACGUGAUACGCAGAUGAGUCCACUAACAUCAUUGUUUCCCAUUAUAUGCCACCAAGCGGGGUACUUUGACAGCUCGCACUGUCUAAAGCGAAUUUUGACGCAGAUGAAAUAUAGGUUAAAUGAAAAGACCCCGAUACAUCAAGAUUUGCACAGUUGCGGGGAUUGGGUUAUAGCCUCGUUACAGUGAUUGAUCAGCUCGGAGGAUCAAACGUUGAAGCCAAACGCCAUAGAAGGCAUUCGAACAAAGUUUGCCGUUGAGAUUUUUGCCAAUAGCUUAAGUUGUUAAAUUUUUUAAUUUGUUUAUUCUUUUUCAAUCUAUAAAUAACAUUAACAUUAUUCUGUAUCAUUUUCAUAUUAUUCUUUGUUAUAUCAUUUAGAUAUUAUUCUUUGUAUUCAUUCAUGUGAUAAGCAUACAGGUCCAAUAAGAACGACAUUGGUUUUUUCUUAUUCAUAUCGCAAAGUCUGUUAGUAUUUUACACAAUUUACAUGACAGCGUUUAUUCGUUUGCAUAUGCCAACCCUCUUUUACUUCUUUACUUUAUAGCCUAUAUGACAUGUUGAAUUGCAUUGUGUGACAUAGGGUUGUAAGCAGUUGCUAUUGAAUUGCGUGAAUGGUGGGAAUAGAAUCGCUUCACCAGUUGAUAUUGAUUCGAAGGAGUAUUUGUUAUGGAGUCACGUGAGUACUAAAUGUUGAAUGACGUUAGUAGUUAAUAUGGAAUCACGUCACCAGUUGAUAUUGAUUCACGAGAGUAUUUGUUAUGGAGUCACGCAAGUAGUAAAUUUUGAAUCACGUCGGUAGUUAAUAUGGAAUCGCGUCACUAAUCCACAUGGAAUCGUGUGAGUAGUAAAUAUAGAUCGCGUGAACCGUUAAGAUUUAGAAUCGCGUGAGCAUUUGAUAUUGACUCCCAUUAGUAGUAAAUAUGGAGUGGCGUUACUAGUUAAUAUGGAAGCGCAUGACAUGACUUUUUGUGGAAUCACGUCACUCAUUGGUAUUGACUCGCGCGAGUAAUAUAUGUGGAGUGGCGUUACUAGUUAUUAUGGAAUGGAGUGAGUUUUUAUUCUAAAAUCGCGUGAGUAGAAAAUGGAGUCGUGUGACUGGAUAUCAUGGAAUUGCGUUACUAGUUGAUGUGGAGUCGCAUGAGUAGUAUAUAUGGAGUGGUGUUACAAAUUCUUAUUGAAUCGUGUGACUAGAUGAUAUGAGAUCGUGUGACUAGUUAAGCUUGCAUCGCGUGACUCACCUAUUGUGUGUCAUGUUCUUCAAAUAAGGGUAAGCCAAUUAUCAUGGACAAUAUCAAACUAGAACUUAACCCCAAGCACCAUCAUAACAAAAUAUCGAGUUGAACACCCUAAACCCUCAACUAGAUGAAAGUUAAAGCACUUGUUGAGGGAAUUUAAAGAAAACAAAAUACCACAAGUCAAUUAUGAGAAAUACAGACUACAAUAUCCAUAAUCCAGUUAUACAAACAACUCUCAAAUAUGAAUGUUCAUCUGGUAUGGUUGACUCAGCCAAAACCAAUGACAACUGACUUCCUUUUUCUCUGAGGUUAAUGUCGGAGAAACGCAUUUGAGGACAAUCAAUUCUGUCGCACUCUUGCUACCUGAACAGUUGCAUCUGUUUUUUGCAUUAGAAGAUUCUCAACAUUUUGUAUCCUCAAUUCCAAUUCCUGCAUUAUAGCAGUUUGAUUACUGAGUUUCUCAUCAAUCCUUAGAAGCAUAUUAUACAUCAUAUCAUUGGAAACAGGAACUCUAGACAGUUGUUUGAAUGGAGUAUCAUGGGUAGAAUGAACUAGGCUGCCUUCGACAGAGUUCAAUGGCUCAUCAAGACUCAAGUCAUAUCCCCUUUUCACGAGCCAUCGAAAGAAGAGAGUACGAGGCCUGCGACUGGUCCAAUCAGCUAGAUACCUAUUGCUCCAUAUCCCUUUCUUCUUAACUAGAGCCGAUAUGAUGUUCCUGUAUAGAAGGGUCGUUUCUUCCCGCAUGGCAACUUGUCUCAUUCUCAUGAUCAUAUAUUCUACAAUAUUAACGACAAACUAGCUUCAAAUCGUUUCCAUCAUCCACAGAUCCUUAGUGUUAACAUGUCUUAAAUGACUGAUCCUUCCCUGUAAUGUGGAUGCCAGAAAAUUAUGUACCAGCCUAUCUGAUACAGAAUUCAAAUGACGAGCAGAACAUGACUCUCUGGUGUAUGGUUCUCUUCUGCCUGUCACCUGGGCUCACAUACGGAACGGGUCAUAUGAUGGGGGAGGUUUGUAUUGUCUGUAUGUAUACUUUAUUCUCAGGAGCUUCCCAAUAUCAAAAGGAGUCACUGUAAACUUUAUUCCUCCCAAAAACACGUUCAAAACAAAUGGGUCAAAAUCUCUAGGAUUUUCAAAUUCGUUUUCACUUUGGCGAAUGCUGAAGUAAAAUUCCCUAACAAGAGUCGAGCUAUAAUCAAAAUAUGAAAAGGUACUUAGACCCUUAAGUUUACCCAUGUCGAAAAACGAAAAUAAGUCACCCUAAAGGUAUAUGUUUUCCUUUAAGCUUUCCCAAUCUACCACUUUCCCGCACGAUAUCAUGGCAUUCUCUAUUACCCAAUACCUACCACCAUGUGAUAUGUCCCUAAAUUGUAAGGGAGAGCACAGAUCAUUACUUGGUUUAAUUGAUAAACUAAUUGAUGCAGUAGGCAAUUGAAGAUCUAGUUUCCAUUUCUUCCUUGAUCAUAGGGUAGAGUAUUCAUCAUCACCCAUACUUUGGUUGCCAUCGCCACGGACAUUGGGUAUGCUCAAAGAUGCGGCCAUUGCUUAAGACAAUGCAAGACGGUUCAACUUUUGUGGUUCAACUUCUCUUCACCCUUAAACUAAGUUUAGAACGGUUGGAAGAUGAAACCGCAGCUAUCGAUAGAUAUUGGGAAGACUGGAAUAUGAAAAAAACGGUUGGAAGCUAUCUCAUACCCUUAUGUUUUUUUAUUACAACGGUCGACAUUAGAACAACUAUUACGAUUAUUAUACAUCAUUUUGUUGGCAAAAAUAUGAUGCAAGAUGUCAAAAUCAAUCACACAAAUAUUAUUAAAUAUUUUGUACUUUAUCUAAUGGUUUACAAAGAAAAACAAAUUAUUAAGGAGUACAAUGAAUUUGAUGAUCCAACAAAUGGGCUAAAUACCAUAAUUGGAAUUUGAUGAUCCAAUUAUGCAAUGGCAUCUUUGUAAAUAAGGGGAACUGUAGUCAACUAUAAGAUAAAUAUCUAAUUUUUUCCAGCACUUUUUCCUUACUUCCAGCAACUUCUUCUUCUUCUUCCCAUCCUUCUUCCUCAAUAAAUAUUUUCCAUAUUGCAUGGAAGCCAUCCCUUGAAACUUCCAUAACUUUCUUAAAGUAACUUCAAUUUUCAUGCUUUUUCACCUCAAAGAUCCUUAAAAGUCUUUCCUCAUCGAUAUAUUUAUAAUUGAAAAUUAUGGGAAAUAACUUUCAUAGUAAGGUGACUUCAAAACACCUUAUAAUAUACCUUCUUGCUCAAAAGUAAACAUGUCUAAUCUUUGUGUUGGAGCAGUGUUCAUUUUAGCCAUACUGGAAUCAUCAUUCAUGAGUCCAGCUGACUUCAGAGGACGAUUCUUCUUACUAGCAUCUGAAGCCCAACGACGUGAGCCCCUACACUGUCACGUGACUGAUGCUGUUUUUCACUUUGAGUGCUACCCAAACCAUUUGGUGUAUCCCAGCCAUUUGAACUUGCUAGUUGAUUUGACUCAUCAAGAGAGCCUCAACCUUCAUAACAUUAUAGUGACUUUUGUUUUUCUUAGCCACUAGAUUUGGAAAAAUCGUCCAAGGUUUUCGAAGGAAUGACAUCUUUUGUUCCCCAACAAGACCGUGGCAGUGCAUCACUAGCAUAAGGUUUUUCACAUUCUUCCUCCAUUGUUCCCUAACUAGUUCCACUGUCCCCACCAUUGGACUUGAAGGUUUUGUCAUCCAUAUAGACAUCUUGUGUAUCUAACUUUUCAUUCCCCAACCAGAAAGUUCAAUUUGCUCUUUCAUACAAGUUCCAUCCACUUUGAGAGAGACAUAUUGUGUUAUGGAUUUGCUUGUCCCCUAGUCACUGCACUCAGUUUGCUUCGUUGUACUGGUCACAGCUACUACAACAUCUUUUGUUUUAGAUGUGCUUGUCCUCUAAUCGCAGUAGUCAUUUUGCUUCGUUGUUCUAGUCACAGCUGCUACAACAUCAUGUGUUGCAAAUAUCAACUGCAGACUCUAUCAAACUCUGUCAAACUCAAGUUGAAAUAAUAUCAUUGAAUGCAAAUAUCAAUGGCCAGUUCGAAACAAUCCUUAACAAUUGACGUUUGAAGGGCCACUAUCUUCAGGUAGGACACCUAUAACGUUAUCAGAGUUUAUAGUCCACAUUGGAUAACGGUUUCGUGUGUGCCCAAGUUGUCUGCAAAUUGCACAUGCCUUAGGUCAUCGUCUUCGAGCCGUGGGUUGAGCAGAUGAUGUUUCCCCGUUUGUUGGUGGAGCUGCAAAUAGAGUCUGGUAAUUUUGUCUAUUAUGACCAUAGCUCUUGCAUUGUGAACAUCUACAUCGUCCGCUGCCUUCCCCAGCUGAUGGAAUCCUUUUCCUCCUAGGUCUUCUAGCUUGACCUCGCCAACUUCAUAGCAAAACGAUAAUUUGUUGAACGUCAUCAAGGAUGUCCCACUCAUUGGGAUGCCCAAUCGGGCGAAUGGGAACCGCAUAUCCCUCCGCCCAAGAUCGAGUCUUGUAAUAGUUCGAGCAGAAUUCAAUGGCUACACAUUUGCACUUACUACCAAGGCAAUGAAAUCACAGUUGGUGAACAAUGGAAAAAUUCAAUUCAUCAUGCACAAUAUAACAAAACAUGAUUGCUCAUACCUUAUUGCCCUCAUGGCAUGCAUGCAGGGGAGCAGAUCGGAAUGGAACUCACCGCAUGAACAUUCCUUGGUGGAGAGGUUCACCACUUUGUCCUUACUCCCGCCUAUAACUUGAAACUCCACUCGAUCGAUUGCUUGUAUGGAAAAGUGACAUGCUUCAUUAAACCAUCUGUUCAACAGAUCGGUAGCCCAAGGGUUGAGGGGUGUGGUCAAAUUCAAUGCCUCAUUGUGCCGGUCAUGGAACCCACGUUGAAACAUGCCUCUGAUGCACUCGAUCAACACCGUUAUUGGCAUUUUUCUUACAUGCCUCAAGCAAGAGUUAAUACACUCCGCAGUGUUGGAUGUCAUUAGCUUGUAUCGCCUUACUGGUGACCGUGCACAUGCCCAUCUCUUAGGGCCUAAUCUCAUAAGGCUGUCAUAAGCAGGUUUAGAAAGCUGUUUCAGCUUAUUCAUAUGUCUAUCAAAAUGGACGACCUUAUAGCAGUUGGCGGCCAUGGUGAAAAUCACUGCAACAUCUUCGCGCUUGAACUUGUUUUUAACAUUUUUCCCUAAGUGGUAAUUGCAUAGACCGUGAUGAGCGUCUUUGUACACUUUCUCAAUUGCAUUCUUAAUGCUAAGAUGCUGAUUAGAAAUGAACAUUGCAUUUCAAGACAACCAAUUGCACGACGCAAUUGGUUAAGAAACCACGACCAAGACUAUUUGGCUUCGACGUGGCCAAUGCUAAAUGCAAGUGGAUAUAUUUGCUCAUUCACACCUUUGCAUACUGCCACAAACAGAAUACCCUUGAAUUUGUCUUUCAGAUGUGUGGCAUCGAUAGCGACUACAGGUCGUAUUACAGCACUGAACCCCCGAAUACAUGACCCGAACGCCUAGAAACAAUAUUUGAAUCAUUGUUCCCCAUCAGUAGCGACACACGUGACAGUACCGGGAUUUUCACAUUCCAACAUAUGGAAAUAUGAGGGGAGGAGUUGGAAUAACUCUUCCGACGAACCGAACACAAGACUCUUCGCAUACUCUUUUGCUUGCCAAGCCUUACCAUAUAGGCAUUGCAAUCCCCACUUGCGAUUUAUCUCUUCCAUUAUUUCUUUUGGUCUCAAUGGGGUUACAUAAUUUCCUUACACCCUAUCGAAGAUAAGUUCACCAAUUACCUUCGCGCUCGCAGUUCGGUACCCACAUUGUAAACCAUCGACAAUAUAUGUGUGUACCUUCUGCAACAUCCGAAGUUACCAAUAUUCUCCCUUAGGCAACUUCGUUGCACGCAAAGCAAACUUGCAUGCCUUAUCCUUACAACCAACCUCAAAACAAGCGUGACAUGACUUUUUAACUCUAAACUCAAAAUGCUCUUUUAGUGCCAACAUGCUCUUUUAGUGCCAACAUGCUCAAAGCUUGUUUCAAUUCAGCCUUCGAUGGAAACACUUUUUCGCGAUGUAAGUGGUUGUCCAUUGAUCUGGAUUCCUCACUCCCAACUAUUUGGAAUGAUAUCAUAUCUAACUCGGGAAUAAUCCAUUGACGAGAUACCACUAUAUUUACCCUCUCUUUAUCACUGUCAUCAGGCGAACGAAUGUCGUUCUCAAGUGCGAUGGCGUUCUCAUAAAUAGGGUCUGCACCCUUAACAUCUUCUAAUUCAACAGUUCUGCCAUGGUCGUCCAACUCAAGCUCUUCUAACACAAUAGUUAUGGUAUGACUUGUACCGCCAUCUGUAUUAUUGCAAUCAGGAAUGUCAGUCUGCUCAACCCUAUCGUCCUCUGAACGGUCUUCAUGUUCAUCAAUGUAAUCAUCUUCACAGUCAUCACGCAAUUCAUCGUUCCGAUCCUCCAUGUUGUCCUCUUCAACAUUAUCUUCAAUCUGAUCAGAUGCAUUGCCAUCACUCACAACCAUCAUAGUGGCGUUUGCUAAUGACAAUGGACCCAAUGCAUUUUCGAGCGACAGUUGUGUUUGUUGCAAAGUACCAAGUAUUUCGUUCGAUGAACAUUCCUAUUGGAAUUGUGCAGACAUCAUUUGCAAACACCUCAUGUGUGCGUCGGGCUGCUAAAACUCAUGAGGAUUCAUUAAACUUGAUUGCCAUGAUUGUUUGUUAGGAAAUGCAUGGUGUGGUAUGUCAGAAUAAUUAACAUUCUGUUCUUAGUGAUUACUAUAUUGGAUACCAUGCUCAUGUGGAAUAUCGUUUGCAUUUCCUACCUUAACUGUCACAAACACAACAACUACCCUCUCAUCUCACAAAAUACUUGCUACAUCUUCAUCAUCCCUGAUAACUGCGUGCAAAACCCCUGCAACAUGGCUAAGCGAUGCAUGUAGCUCAAUUUCAUUAUUAUGUGACUUGACCCCAACACCCUCUUCAACCAGCUUCACUAGUCCCGAAAAUGACAAAUCACUUCCAACACCCCUCAUUCGUGUCUCACCACCUUUGUAAAUGUCAUCGACCCAAUGACCACCGUAUGUAAUCAUAAGCUUCACAUUUGGUAAGCCGCUGAAAUUUAACAGAAAAUAAGUGUCACGAUCAGUCAAUUUAUUAAAAAUAGCCCCUCAAUGCAUAGAAACCACUUACGUAAUGCCUAAGUCACAUUUGGCCGGCCGUAGAAAUUUAACAGAAAUUAAGUGUCGCAAUGUCUAAUACACAUUAAUGCAAUGCCUAACAACUAGUGAACAAAUGCCCCUAAACAAGAGGCGAAUUACACAAGUCACGCGCCACUGCUCUCGCAAUAUAUAACAACAGGUCACGUAAUAUAUAAAAACCAAUCACGCAAGCCUAAAAAACUACUAAACAAAAGCCUCAAAACAACAUAUGAAUUGCACAAGUCACAUGCACCACUUUCGCAAAACAUAACAACAUGUCACGCAAUAUAUAAAAACCAGUUACACAAGCCUAAAAAACUACUGAACAAAAGCCUCAAAAAAACAUAUGAAUUGCACAAGUCACACGCCACCACUUUCGCUACAACAAGUAACGUAAUAUAUAAAAACCAGUCACGCAUUGCCUAAAAAACUACUAAACAAAAGCCUCAAAACAACAAAUGAAUUGCACAAGUCAGUCACGCACCGCUAGGCUCGCAACACCUAAGAAUAAGUCACUCAAUGAAUAAUAAGCCUCAAAACAAGAGGUGAAUUGCACAAGUCACGCACCACUAGUCUCGCAAUACCUAAUAAUAAGUCAAUCGAUUCUUAAUAUCCACUAUUGUUAUGCCAACUUAAACAGUCAUGUACUGGCCCAACAUCAUGCAAUACAUAACAAUACGUCACCAUAGGUACUCUAUUCCAUAUACAUACAAACCACUCACGCAAUGACUCAACAGAAGAUAUGCAUUAUACAAUUCAUGCACCGCGUAUAACCCACUCUCCCAAUACCUAAUAAUAGGUCACCCAAUGCCUAACAUCCACUCACAAAGUUGUUCAGCAUAAUAUAACUUAAACGAAGCAAAUAACUCAAGAAAAUAUGUGCUAAAUGAAAAUAAAAAUUGUUAUAAAUUUUAUUAAAAAGACCCCCCAAAAAUACAAGGAGAUGAUACAAAAAAAAUAAACCUUAGUUCAUUUCUUCAUAAGUUCAUCUACUUUGUACUCUAUCUCAGCAAGAAUCUUUUCGUUGCUUGGGAUGGCAGCCUCCAAGUCAAAAGUCCUUUGCAUCGAGUUGUCGAUGAUGACUUGCAUCUCCUGCUGGAAUAUGUGCAACUGGUCCCUCACACUCAAAGGCACCUCUUUCUCUUCGGAGGCUGCCUCUUUCCCCUUCUCGACUCUUGGAUCUCUAGAUGUCAUUUUUCAAUUAUCUGAGAUUACUUAAGAUAAUUGAAUUUGAUUCAAAUGGUUAAUGGUUCCCUUUAUUUAUAGGCAUGAAAGCUGACUCUUCAUUUUCUACACCCAUAUCAGUGUAAUGAAUGAGGGCUGAAUUGGUUAUUAAGUACCUAUUCGGCCUGCCCUUUCAUCUUAUCUAUCUCUUAAAAGCAAAAGCUAGGCCAAACAUCAUUUUCAAAGAAAUUCUUAAUAAAAAAUAGCUUAAAGGUUUUGUCUCUUUUUCACUAAUCAAAAAGGAUUUUAAUGUUACCUCUUUUCUCUUUUCCAAAAAAUUCGUUAUCGCUUCCUCUUUUCUUUUUUUUUUUAAUUUAAGCAUCAUGGUAGACUAACCAAAAUCUAAUACUAUUGCUACUAUACAAGUCUGAAAUUAUAUAUAAACUUUAAGAAUUACAUUAGAGCUUAUUAGGUUAUUAAAUAUGACACUCAAUAUCCUUUUAUGGUAAUUUUAACGAAAUUACAACUUAUAUAAUUUAAUUUGUUAAACAGUUUACCAAACAGCUUUAGCCUAUUUCUCUUCUAAUUUUACACAAUUUGUUAUUAAGAUGGCAGAAUCAGUAGAUAAUCACCUUCAGCAUUAGGUAGCUAAAGUCACACAAUGCCUACAAACAAGUCACGCAAUGCUCAACUAAUAUUCAGUCACGUAACGCCUGUCACAUAACGAUCAAUAAAUAUUAAGUCACGUAAUGCCUAUAAAGAACUCACGCAAUGCUCAACAAAUAUUCAGUCAGGUAAUAUUCAGUCACGUAAUACUUGUCACGCAACGCUCAACAUAUAUUCAGUCACGUAAUGCCUAUAAAGAACUCACGCAAUGCUCAACAAAUAUUUAGGCACCUAAUGCCAAAUAAACAGGUAACGAUUCCUAAUAUCCAAUCACACACCCUAAUAUCCAGUGACUCAAUGCCUAAUAAAUAUUCACGCAUCGCCUAUAAAAUUGAUUGAUUUCACUACCCCUGGAUAGAUUUAAGUUUCCAAACUCAUAUAAUUUACCCGUUAACUUUUUCGUUCUAUGAAUAACCUUAAAUAAAUGCAAGAACUCAUAACAAAUACCUUGAUGUCAUCUUUGUACUUUGGGAUCGUGAGAAAGUUGGCUGCUGAUGUAGACCUCGAUGGUGUUGGAGAACUGGACGGAGGGAUAGCUAAAUCUAAAUCGAGAUUUAAUUUUGAAAUUUUAAGCUGAAUGGUGAGAGAGCAGAAAGAAAGAAACUAAGACGGGCCUUCACUUGGAUUAAUUGGAUUAAAGAGUAUUCUUGUCAAGUCGUGCUAAAAAUUGGCUAAAAACAGUUAAAAUUAUAGAGACGGUCAUAUUUAAAGUCACCUUCCUAUGAAGGUCAUUUCUCACGAUUUUCUCUUUCUUUUUUAUAUUAAUAGCAAAUAGUAAGAGAUCUGAUAGAAAGAUUCUCACCAACCCAAAGUAAUAAUAAUACAAAUUAUGAGUUCUAUUUGAAGCAUAAUUUCUAGACACUACACUGUAAUUGUCAAAAAAAGAUAUACAAACGAUAAAUUUAUCUAUGUUCCUCUGAUGCACAAAUUUAUCUGAACUUCUUUAGAAAUAGCUAGGCUGGAAAAUAAAUUAGCUUGGUGAGUAUUUGCUUAAACUAGUAGCAAAUAUGCUUAUUCUAAUAAGAGAUAAAGAACCCUAUCACACAGUUUUCUUCUUUGGUUAACUCUACUUGCUCUUAUAAGGGAAAGCACAGCUUUUCAGAGUGAUUGGAUUGCAUCGUGCUGCUCUUACGUAAAAUGAACUGAAUUAUUGGAAUGAUAAAAGCAUAAAGAAACAAGGCUUGAGGCUUAAAAAGAAAUGGAGUAAAGAGGGGUGAAAUCUUUAGAAAAAGAGGUGGGGCAAGGCUGCUCGGCCCCAUCAUCAAGUUAAUUGAUCAAUGAGAACAUCUUUUGCAGAUUCACACUACUUUAUUUACCUUAAGUAUCAAUCUUCUUUUUCCACACGAUAGGUUGGGUGGUGAAACACGUCUAGGCCUUGCCAAAUAUUCUAGACAAUGUAGAUUUACGCGAACAGAAUCAUAAUCCUAGGCUUUAUUUGCAAAAGUAGGCACUUACUCCAAAAUUUAAGACUUAUGCCCCCCUGCUUCAAUAUUUCGAGGAAAGAUUAGCGUAAUAGUACUGUUAAUCCGUCUUGUCUUCCAUGAGAGACCUUUCAAUUAUUAUCGCUACCCUCUCCCUCUUCUUUUCGCUUCAGCAUGUUGCCAUUUGUGCACAAAUUUACACCCCACCUGAUAAUAUUGCUCUAGACUGUGGCUCCUCAACUUCAGGCAAUUCAGCAGUGCCAGGUGGUCGUAAAUGGACAGGGGACAAGGACUCAAAGGUGGCUCUCAUUGAAGAAUCUUCUAGCAAAUCAGUAUCUGCCACCGCCCUCUCCCAAAGCAGCUCCAUCCUUAGAGUCCCUUACUUGACUGCAAGAAUAUCUAUAUCCCAAUUCACCUACGUGUUUCCAGUUACUGCUGGACAAAAAUUUAUCAGACUUCAUUUCUAUCCUGCUCAGUACCAAGGCUUUGACAGGUCUAAAAACUUUUUCUCUGUCAAGGUAGGGUCUUAUUCACUACUCAAUAACUUCAGUGCUUCUCUUACUGCUCAGUAUUUAGGGGAAGCAUCAUUUUUUAAAGAGUUCUGUGUAAACUUGGAGCAGAAUCAAAGCCUCACUGUAACUUUUACUCCUUCUAUGAGCAUGUCUUAUGCUUUUAUCAAUGGAAUCGAGGUUGUUUCAAUGCCAACCAACCUCUACUACUCUCGUUUAGAUGAUCAAGGCCUUCCUUUCAUAGGUCAAGAAGCACAGUUCCAGAUUAAUAACUACACAGCACUUGAGAAUGUUCAUCGAUUGAACAUUGGGGGCAACUCAAUCCCCGCCGUGAACGAUACUGGCAUGUACAGAAACUGGUAUGAUGACUACUUUUAUCUGGUGCCAGCUGGCGUUGUAGCCAGUAACACGAGUAUUAAACUUGAUUAUUCUAUCAUACCACAAUACACUGCACCAGAUGAUGUGUAUAGAACAGCUAGAUCAAUGGGAAGCAACAGAACAGAGAACUUGUUGUACAAUUUAACAUGGAGGUUACCCGUUGAUUCUGGAUUCAGGUAUCUUGUUAGACUCCAUUUCUGUGAAUUUGAUCCAUAUGUAGAAACUGUGAGUGAUAGGCGAUUUAGCAUCUACAUAGAUAAUAAGACCGCAGAGGCAGCAUUUGAUGUGAUGGAAGCUUCUGGUGGUAAAGGGAGACCAAUGUAUAAAGACUAUGUGGUGAUGAUUGGGAACACUGGAGAUAAAAGUGAGUAUACCCUCUUCAUAGCUCUACAUCCUAAAAAUUUAUUUAGUGCUUAUGCAGAUGGUUUCCUGAAUGGACUUGAAGUCUUCAAACUGAACAACUCUGGUGGCAAUCUUGCUGGACCGAAUCCUGCGCCACAGGCCCCACCCGCUGGCAAUGAGGAAUCAAGUCCGAAAGCAAAGAAGUCCAACACAAAGAGGAAAUUGCUCUUUUCAAUUGGUGGAUGUGGGAUAGGCUUGUUAAUUAUACUAGUUUUAUUAUGUUGUAUCAUUGUUUGGCGACACAGAAAGAUGCACUGGUAUGGUGCCUACUGUAAAGGAUCAAGGUUUUGCUGCUGGAUGGAUCCUUACAAAAGGAAAUCAUUUUGGGCAAAAUCCUCAUCAUUGCCUGAUGAAUUGUGCCGUCACUUUUCGCUAGAUGAGAUCAAAGCUGCAACUAGUGACUUCCAUGAAGCUUUGAUUAUUGGGGUAGGUGGUUUUGGCAAUGUAUACAAAGGUUUCUUGGAUAAUGGUGAAACAAUAGCUGCCAUCAAGCGCUUGAAUCCUUUGUCUAGACAAGGUGCAAGGGAGUUCAAGACUGAGAUUGAGAUGCUCUCCCAGCUUCGGCACAUCCAUUUGGUCUCCCUGAUUGGAUAUUGCAAUGACAAUUCUGAGAUGAUCCUGGUGUACGAUUACAUGAUCAAUGGUACUCUACGUGAUCACCUAUAUGACACCAAAAAUGAUCCUCUAACAUGGAAGCAAAGACUCAAGAUAUGCCAUGGGGCAGCUAUUGGAUUGAACUACCUUCAUACAGAAGUGAAAUAUACUAUAAUUCAUCGUGAUGUGAAGACAAGCAACAUUCUCCUGGAUGAGAAAUUUAGUGCUAAAGUUUCCGAUUUUGGGUUGUCUAAGAUGGACCCCAAAAUUGACGUGGUCAAUACUGGAGUAAAGGGCACGUGGGGAUACUUAGAUCCUGAGUAUGCUCGGGGGCAUGCAUUAACUGAAAAAUCAGAUGUUUAUUCAUUUGGUGUAGUACUAUUUGAAGUAUUAUGCGCAAGGAAGGCUCUGGAUCAAAAAUUGGCAGUUGAUCAAGUGAAUCUAGCUCAUUGGGUUAAAAAAUGCAUUGCUGAUGGAACUCUUUAUCAAAUCAUUGAUCCACGACUAAGGGGAAAGAUAUCUCCAGAGUGUUUUAAGGUGUUUGUAGAAAUUGCAGAAAGUUGCAUACAAGAAGCGGGAGUCAAUAGGCCACUGAUGAAUGAUGUAAUGGAAAAGCUAGGAUUUGCGCUGGAGUUACAAGAGACUGCUGAUGCUGGAAAAGAGAAGAUCAAUCCUGCUGGUGAACAUAGCUACCAGGAUAUAUUGUUCCCCCUUGCUCGUGACAUCGAUGUUGAUACUUUAGGUUCUAAUGUUAUUGCAGCUCCUAAUCCCGUUCACGAUUCGGGCAGUUCUUUGUCUUAUGACAUAUUCUCAAGUACCAUUAGCCCAAAAGAAUUGUGAUGACUAGUUGGUGAUAUCUGGAGCUGUUGGUGUUUCUUUUUACAUCUCUGUUUCAUAUCAGUUUGUUGAGCUUUAUGUUAUGAUCUUUAGCAUUUUAGGGUUGACAUAAGAAAGGAAGUACGAGAGGCAGGUUUUAUUUUCAUUGAUGCAUACAGGAAGACAGCACUAUGUUGAGUCUGUUAUUGGGUUGAAUUUCUGGUGAAAGAAAACAACCCCAUUUUGUUUAAUGUGGGGUAUGAUAGUAUUAGGGUAUGAUAUUUAUAUUCCUAGGAGAGGAUGUUAAAUGUUUUUGAUUUGAUAAUGUGUGUACGAAGGAAGUAUCUUACUGUAAGGUGGUCAAAUUGCUUUAGGUAUGAGCAGUUCACGAUGUGUGGACUGUCUCCUCCCCUUUCCUUUUUUAAUAGUUUGGCUUUUUGCUAUUGACUGCUUAUGAAUCAGCUUUUUUGAUACGUAAUAUAUCGACUUUGAUUGAAAAAAAAAAAGAAAAACCGAAGACUAAGGAAGUCAUUCCUUUCCUUUUGGCUUUCCAGCUUUAACUUAGAAAAGAUGGCAAUAUAUUUACUAUUCUUAUUAUUAUUAGUUUUGGAAAGAGAUCGGGUCAGAAAAGAGAGAUGGAAUCAAGUUAAAGUUGAUAGACUUGUUAUGCAAAACUGCAGAAUACCAACCAAAAUUUUAUUGAAUUGUAAUCUUAAUUAGAGUUUACUCCUAUUUUAAAUAAAAUGUUUACUUUCUAAAAACACAAAAAUUUAGGAAUGAGGUAUUUUGUUAUUUAUUUUAUAAUUCUUAAAAGUUGUAAAAACUAAAAGAGAUUAAUUAAUGAAAGACAAUAUUGAAAAAAAUAUUUUAUAUCUUUUAAAAAUAAAUAUUAUUUUGAAAUAUCUUAUAAUAAUAAAAUGAGCAUUAAACUUGCAAUCUUCUCAAUCAUUGUCUUGGUUUUUAUGUCAUUUCGUGGAAUUCCUACUUCUUGGAUGCUUAUGUUAUCAUACAUCGAUUGAUGGAUUAUUUUCUCAUUCUUGGAUGAAUAAAAUAUUAAUUUGGUCCAUAUAAGGUGGCCAUAAUUUCCAUACUUCUCUCUCCCUUAGCUCUUGAUCUGUAAAUUACGUGACUUUGCCAAGUGAGAGAGGUAGGGAAAAAGAAAGAAAGAAAGAAAGAAAAGAUGGGGUUUGAUCAGAAGAAAAAAGGAGAAAUUUAUCUGGCGUUUGUGUUGAUGAUAAUACUCCUGAAAUCGAAUAGUUGUAGAGCUGCGCUUCUAGUGAAGAGUAACACCACUUAUCAGCGCAAUGGCCGCCUUGACGAAUGCCGAAUUGCACAAGAUUUGGAGCUGGAGUUGGACUUGCCGAUCAGUUCAAACGUUAUCAGAAUCCUCCAGGGUGGUAGCGGCACAGUAACUGGUGGCACGCCCAAUCGUAAUAGACCAGCUCAAAAUAAUUGCCCAACUGCAUACGGAAAUUGUAUUGCCAACGGAGGUAACGCUGACUGUAGGAACCUAUACUCUUGCGGCCGACUGCAACAAGGUUAAGUCCCUACGGUAGCGGGGAACCGUCAAUAUCAACUCUAUGUCCUGCCUGCUUUUGGAUGCUCCUUCUGUGCGUUAUGUCCCUUUCAUCUUUGUGUGCUUUUAUGCGAGUUUACUUUUCCUGCAGCAUGAUUCCUGUCGUUAUUAGAAGUGUGACGGUAAUGAUGGGUUUGAUUAUGGAUGGUAUCAUCAAAAUACGCAAUGAAAAGAAAAUUAAAAAUUUUAUAACUAAACAACCAAGACAUGCUUUCACCCAUGGAUCAUUUUAGUGAUAUUUAACAUAUAAAAGUACAAAAUAAAUUAUUGUUUAGAAGUUACCUUGUCAUGUAAUUUCGUAAUCACGAUAGCACUUUUCAAAGUAAUCCCGUAAACACCACAAGGAGCAAAAACCCUAGCCAAUCAAGUGUUUGGCCUCCAAUGGUAGUACACACGAUUGCACUUGAACCUUCAACAAAGGAAAGAGUUUUUAACUAUACUUUGUACUGGCAAAGAAGACAACAAUUGCCAUUUUCUUCUUUUUCACAAUUUUAGCCGAACUUCUCUUGAAAAUUGCUUCAUAAGCAAUUUUAUCUUUCACACAAAGGGAGUGGUGGCAAAGAAAGAAAAUGUUUUUCUUUUUUUGACAAAAACCACGUUUUCCUCAAUUGUGAAAAACUCUCAUAUGGAAAAUAGUUAAAAUGUGACUUAUAUAGUUAGGUUAAAAUAACUUCAAUUUUAUAAUUAAGCCCUCAAUAUUAUAACACAUUAUAAUAUUGGGCCCAUUACUUAGUUAAACUCUUUUAAUUAAGUCAUUGAAAAUUAAAAUCAAAAUUAAUUUCCUUUAUAUUUUGCAAUCAAGGCCUUGUAAUUAUAACUAUUUAUAAUUAUGCCAAAAACUUAAUUAAACUCUUUUAAUUAAGUUUAUAGAAGUUAAUUACCUAGCAUGUGAUUUAAGUCUAACUUAAAUCGUCACUUUUCCAAUUUAAUUCAAAUGCAAUUAUUGUGUGUGACCCAUUAAGUUCUCAACAUGUUGGCAAUGGAAUUGAUUAAUGACUUAAUUGAUUAAUAUAAAUUUCAAUCAAUUAAUUUAUAAUCAAUUCCAUAGAUAAAGAUUGGCAUCUAGCAACGCAUCAUGGCCACCCAAUUGUUGGGAGAGUCAAAGGGUUAUUUGACAACCUUUCAGUGUGCAGCCUAUCAGUGUAAUUCAUUCCCUCAUCAUAUAUCCCGAAGAUGAUAAGAGCUUGGUACAAUGUCUGCUCUUAUUGAACUUCAUAUUUGUUCUUGCAAUUAUAGCAUUAGCUUUAUAAAGAGUUAUGAAACCUUUUUCAUUAUCUUUAUGUCGCCUUGGCCAAGGACUUCAAUAAGCUAAUGUUAACCAAGAAUUGAUAGGAUAUGUCAUCUAAAACACUUGAGGUAAUGAUUCCUAUCUUGACCACUCAUUUGCCGUCACAUGCUUCAUACUAUACCCAAAAGCAUCCUGUUUUGGCAUCCUUGGUUAGGCAACCGUAGGGAUGAAAUCAAAGUAUAGCACUCCACACAUAAGACAACCUGGUAUCUCAAGUUUAGGGAGUAUUUACACGACUGACACAUGAGAAGUGUUGGAUGGACACUAGAGUGUAUUACCAAAUGCACUUCUCAUGGCGAGUCAUGUUCAGUGAACUUGCUCUCCCAAGCAAGCACCUAUAAUCUGGUUCCAAGUAUCUCUAUUCUUCAAUCUAUGAGAUCAAUUGCUUACUUCCAAAAUAAGGAACAUAGAAUAUACCAGUCUCUAAGCAUCACUGAUGUCUAGUCUUAAUGAUACAUUUACCAGGAACAUUUUUGAGAUUAUGCUUUAAUGCAUAGGAAUCUCAUAACUACAACCCAUUACAAUUUCCUUGCAAGGCAUAUUAUUCUCAUGGAUUUCAUCCAAUUAAACUUAUAACUCAUUAUAAUUGAUGUCUUAUUGAUGAAGAAAAACCUCUAAUCAUUCAAUAUGAAUGAUUCUGUUGCAUGAUUGGAAUCAAGCCUUAACCAAUCUCAUUUGGCUGCAGGGCUAAUCCCAACAGGUAAUUAGGCCAAACAAGUAUGAAUGGAAAGAAAUUAAAUUACCCCUACAGUUGUAUCAGUUUACUAAUAAUGAUAUCGUUUGGUAAGGAUUUUUUGUCUCCAGAUUUUGGUUCGAUCAACCAUUUUUUGACGUCCAAAUUCACUACAUCUAAAUGUCAUUACUAUAAAUUUAAGCCACUCCAGAUAUUUUCAAUAAUUUCUUUUUUCUUUCUUCAGCAAGUGGGAAGAAUUUAAAGAGGAGUAUAAUAAGAAAAAAAAUUCAAAAUUGCAAUAAAGAAAUUGUUAAUCUUAUAUUAAAAAUUCACAUUCUAUAUUAUUGUUAUUUCAGCACUCGGCUUAAUUCUUGUUGACUUCGCCACUGCCGCUGUUAAUCCGUAAAUUAGGGUCCUUAUCUUAAAUUUAGUUAUUGUUGAUGGUCGGACUAGAAUCGCUAUGCAACUUGGAGUUUGGACCUAUUUUCCACCUUUGUAUCUAUCUUUGUUAGUAGGUUUUGUUUUGAAGAGUUUGAAUACUCUAUCUGAUGAUUUUAUUCAUGAGGCAUGGUGUGCUUAAAUACAAAUGGUGAUGGUGAUAACAAGGAAAUAUAUAUUUACAAUAAGUGGUUGCCUAAGGUAAAGGCAUGGAUUAUGCCACAGUUUAAGAAAUCAAUUACAUUGGUUAUGUUGUUGACUAAGGAAUCAAUUAGUCAAUGAUUAUCCAAAAAGAUCUCAAGUCAAAUCUCUUUCAUUACUCCCCCUCAAGUUGGAGCAUGUAAAUUGGUAAUGCCCAACUUGGCCAACAGAUCAUGGAAUCGAUUUCGUCCAAGAGCCUUGGUGAAAAUGUCUGCUAAUUGAAAGUGUGUUGAAAUCGACUUAGGAACAAGGAUCUUUCACUGAACAUGCUGUCUGAUAAAGUGACAAUCUAUUUCGAUAUGUUUGGUGCGUUCAUGAAAAUUGGAUUUGCUACGAUAUGAAUUGCACCCUAAUUAUCACAAAAUAAUGAAAUUGGUGUUGGAUGAGAAAUGCGCAGAUUGUCCAAUAAUCUUAGGAGCCACACAAUCUCACUUGCUGUAGUAGCCAUGGCUCUAUAUUCUGCUUCUGUGAAUGAUCAAGAAACUAUUGAUUGUUUCUUGGAUCACCAUGAAAUGGGUGAUGAGCCAAGAAAAAUGAUGUACCCAGUGGUUGAUUUUCGUGUUGUUGGACAGCCCGCCCAGUCUACAUCACAAUAGGCUCGAAGUGUCAAUUGGUUAUGACUAGGCAAUAAUAAACCUUGACUUAGUGCUCCUUUUAGAUAUCGUACUACCCAUAAGGCUACAUCAAAAUGUGUCUAACGCGGACAGUGCAGGAAUUGACUUAAUAUAUGGACAACAAAACUAAUAUCAAGUCGAGUGAUGGUGAGGUAUAACAAUCUACCUAUCAAUCUCCUAUAUUGUCUUGGGUCUGAACAAAGUGGGCCUGGAUCAAGAUAUAACUUGAUUUGUUAGUCCAUAGGUGAUGCCGCGGGUUUGUACCCAAUAAGUCCGCUAUCUGUCAAUAUGUCAAGCACACAUUUUCGUUGAUUUAAGACAAUUCCAGAUGGCGAUCGUGCUUCCAUAAUUCCCAAAAAGUAUUUUAACUUGCCUAAGUCUUUGAUGCAAAAUUCACGAUCCAAAUGAGUUUUUAGUUGAGAGAUUUUGAGUGUCAUUCCCUAUUACUAUGAUUUCAUCAAUAUAAACUAACACUGCAAUAAAUGAUUCUUUGGCAGAACUUGUAAACAGAGAAUGAUCGGCAUGAGAUUGUGUUAAACCAAUAGCCAGUAAAGAAUUAGUAAGCUUUUGAUACCAAUUUCGUGACGCUUGGUGAAGUCCAUAGAAAGAUUUCAUAAAACGACAUACUCGUUGCUCCCCUUUUUUGACAAAACCCUAAGGUAUUUUCAUAUAAAUUUCUUCUUCCAAAUCCCCAUGUAAGAAUGCAUUAUUGACAUCCAACUGAUGCAACUCCCAAUGAUGUACCGAAGCAAUUGCUAGAAGACAGCGGACAGUGACUAAUUUUGCAAUUGGGGCAAAAGUCUCAUGAAAGUAUAUCCCUUCAAUCUGAGUAUACCCUUUGGCCACUAACCGUGCUUUAUAACGUUCCACUGAUCCAUCUAGGUUGUAUUUAAUUUUGUACACCCAUUUGGAAUCUAUAGCUCGUUUUCUUAGAGGCAAAGAUGUGAGAAUCCAAGUGUUGUUUGCCUCUCUAAUGCCGAUAUUUCUUUCUCCAUAGCAUCUCGUUAGUGUUGUAAUUUAACUGCGUGAAAAAAUGAUUUAGGCUCAUCGAUAGCAGAGAUGGCCGCUAGAAACACACUAUGAGCUCUAGAAAAUUUGGAGUAAGAAAUAUUGUGUGAUAGAGGAUAUACUAUUGAGUUGGUCGAAAGACGUGUAAGAAAUAUUGUGUGAUAGAGGAUAUACUGUUGAGUUGGUGGAAGGAGGUGUAGAGUGCGAAGUAGGAGCAAGUGAGGCAAGCAAAGUAUAAUCGUAACCAAAAAGAAUUUUUGAAACUUGUCGCUGUUGCUUAGCAUGGAGUGCAUCGUGUUGUUCUUUCAUUUCCAUUCUUGGCUCAAUCAAUGAAAGACAUUCUGUAAGUUGGCUGUCUUCUUGUUGGCCUGAUGAUGUUGACUUUACUGGUAUAGAUGUAAUAUCAGGAUUUUGUACUACCCCAAGUUCCUGCUUAUGAUCCUGCAGCUCCUGUUGUGUGGGACUUAGGUGAUCAUGUGGCUCAUCAAAUGACAUAGGUGGAUUAAUUUGCACGUGAUGUGUCUUUUUUGCAAUUGAAUCAUUGGUUUCCUUAUCUAUCUUGGCAAAAGGAAAUAUUUCCUUUCAAAACUGUACAUCUCGAGAAAUGAAUAUUUUCUUGCUUUCAAGGUCAUAUAUGCGAUACCCUUUCUGUCUCGUGGGGUACCCAACAAAGACACCCGAUCGGCUACUAGGAGCAAACUUGUCACGUGGUUUGUUGAUAUGCCCAUAACAAAGACAUCCAAAUGUUCCAAGAUGAUCAUAUGAUAGAGAUUUUCAAAUAAUUUCUCAUAUGGGGUCUGAUUUUCUAUGACUGAAAGUGGCAUGCGAUUGAUUAGAUAAGUUGCUGUGAGUAUACAUUCGCCCCAAAAGUUGAUGGGAAGGUUGGCUUGGAAUUGAAGUGCACGUGCUAUUUCUAAAAGAUGGCGAUGCUUCCGUUCAACCACUCCAUUUUGUUGAGGUGUGUUCGUGCAGCUUGUCUGUCUCUCCAUCCCAUACUCAACAUAGUGAUUCGCCAAAUCCUCAUGAUCGAACUCCAAUCCAUUAUCUGUUUGUAAUAUCUUGACUUGUGCAUUAAACUGUGUUUGACCUGUUGGAAGAAAUAAAGCAGAAAACUCUUUGUUUCUGAUUUAUGUUUCAUAAGAAACACCCAUGUUGCUCGGCUGUAAUCAUCAACAAUUGAUAGAAAAUAAUGCGCUCCUAAAAAGGAUGCGAUGUGAUAAGGACCCCAAAUAUCAUAGUGAAUCAAAUCGAAAGCUUGUGAACUUUUAUUCUUACGACUUGGAAAAGGCAACCUAGUUUGUUUUGCUUUACAACAAGCAUCACAAAGAAAAUUGUCCUUUUUAUAUAAGUGAUAGCCAAGUUUGGAACCAUUGAGAGGCACUACAAUGGAAUGUGCCUUAACCGAUAAUGCCAUAGAGUUGUGGUGUCUUUGUCUUUAGUCAGAACUGUUUUGCUUGUUCUUGUUGGCUCUAAAUAAUAUAAUCCAUUUCGCACUCUACCCACUCCAAUUAGCUUCUUCGAGAGCAAGUCUUGUAUUACAAAAAAAUCAGAUCCAAAAAUUAGAAGACAGUUCAAGUCACAAGUUAUUUUGCUUACAGAUAAUAAGUUAAAACAAAACUCUGGUACGCUAAGAACUCGUUCUAAAGUCAGGCUUUGCCCAAGAUUUAUUCGGCCUAAAGCAUGAACUGGUACAGUGUGACCAUUCGGAAUUUGAACUGAUGGAAUUUUAGGAUUUCGACCAUAUCUCAUAGACCAUCAAUUUGAUGAGUGAUAUGGUUUGUGGCCCCAGUAUCAAUUACCCAUGAGUCGUCCUUUUUCCAAGAAAGUUACCAGAGAAAUUAGCAUUGGAGGCGAUGUUUGCAACUGGCCCAUUACUAAAGUUGGUUUGGACAAGUCGCUGGUUCAAAAGAUCCAUUAAUUGUUACAUCUAGGCCUGAGUCAAUCUAGGAAUUAAAGUGGAAUCUCCUGUUCUUUUGGAAGAAGAGGAAGCUGGCCCAAAAGAAGAUGAACCUAUCUGUUCAAUUGAACAUCAUUUGACCUUGCCACAAAAGCACGUGCUUGUCCCCCAACGUCCCCAACAGGUGUUCUGGCCACCCAAUCACUGCACGAUUCUCCUUUGGCCUUCGGUCUUUGUUGCCAAUCAGGUGGGUCGCCUAUAAUUUCAAAACAUGACUCAUAGGUGUGGCUCGAUUUGUCGCAAUAAGAGCAUCUGGGAUGUGGCCUUUGCUAUUCACCACGUCGCUCAUUUCGAUUGCCGGUGCCAUGCCUUCUCAUUCCACCGACGAUUUGAUUUUUGGUCAAUAGGGCUGCCGUUUUCGUCACUCCAACCCAUGCUACUGUAAUAUCCUCUUGUUUUUCUUCUUGGGCUACAAUCGUGUAGGCACGCCCAACGCUAGGCAACGAUUCAAUGCUGAGGAUUUGUGAACGCACAAUCCUGUAGUUGUCAUCCAAGCCCAUCAGAAAAUCGAAUAGCUUUUCUUCUUAUAGCAUUUCUUGCAUCUGUCUAGCUACACCACAAGUACACUUUCCACAACUACAAACUGUUAAGGGUUGAAAAGUUUGGAUUUCAUUCCAUAAUGAUUUUAAUUUUCCAUAGUAAGUGGAAAUUGGAACCGUUUCUCGUCUUAAAAAUGCGAUUGCUCAUUUGAGUUCAGAAACUCUGGGAGCAAUUCCCUGAAUGAACCUUUCUUUAAGGUCAGUCCAUACCUUAUUAACAGUCUCUGCAUGUAUGACUCCCCCUUGCAAUUCCCUGGAGAGAGCGUUAAUCAACCAAAAUAAUACCGUUGCAUUACACUGCACCCAAUCUCGAAAUUCAGGAGAACUAAUUUUUGGUUUUGGGAUUGACCCAUCCACGAACUCUGCUUUAUUCUUGGAUUGAAAAGCAUUCAUAAAAUUGCAUUUCCAAGUGAAAUAGUUUUUCCCUAUUUCACUUAGGGGAUGAGUAACGAAAAUUAGACCAGGGUGAUCAGAGGAGUGCAGAUAGUAAGGUGAUUUGACGUCAACUACAGUGUUGUUUGAAGUGACUGUAGUCGGCACCAAAUUUCCAUUACCCUUGUCUGCUUCUACCUCACCCCUAUUAGCCAUCUAGAUAUAGCUUAGGUUGUCUGCAACCUCUGCUCUGAUUCCAUGAAGAGUUUGAAUACUCUAUCUGAUGAUUUUAUUCAUGAGGCACAGUGUGCUUAAAUACAAGUGGUGAUGGUGAUAACAAGGAAAGAAAUAUUUGCAAUAAGUGGCUACCUAAGGUAAAGACAUGGAUUAUGCAUGGUUUAAGAAAUCAAUUACAUUGGUUAUGCCGUUGACUAAAGAAUCAAUUAGUCAAUAAUUAUCCAAAAAGAUCUCAAGUCAAAUCUCCUUCAUUAGUUUUUUAUUGUUCUUUUCUUCUUCUUGUGUUCUUGUACUAAUGAUUUCAUUAGUUUCUCUUAGCAAUUAAUUUCUGUCUUUUACUUUAUCUGAUCCCUGAAAUUCAGAUUCCUAAACCUGAACUAAAGUUUGGAAUGUUUUUCUUUAUAAAAGAGGUAUUAAGAUUAUUGAGCUAUAUAUAUGUAUAUGUAUAGCUACGAGCCAUUUUAUUUUUACUUGGAAGGUAGAAUAUUUCAUUGAUGUAAAACAAGGAUACCAGAUGCCUGAUCAAGUCUUUAGCCUAAGGGAACGGGCACAAGACUGAGUCAUGCAUACCCUCCCUUGUCCAAAAAACACGAAAACGCUAUACACAGCCAACACCCAUCCUGUGGCUAGCAGCAGAAGCCACCGGAUUGGUCUCAACCAUCCUUGUGUUCCAGUACAUUUAAUUACAUAGUUCCCAGAAACACAGGUAACGACAGUUCCCCUUAAUUCCCACAGCCCAGUGCCAUUAAACAUAUUAUCCACCAAGAAUUCCGCCACUCAACUCUCCAAAAUGGAGCAUCUCUCUGCAGCCUUUUAUACCGAUUGGUCCCAGACUUGACGGAUGGGCCAAGAAGACCAAGACCAAGACUAAGGGAAGACAUUACCAUCUUCCUCUAUAAUAUGUCCUCGUACUUUAGCACAUUUGCUUUUCACUUUGAUUUAUUAUGUAUCAUACGCUUAACACCUUUCUUUCCUUUUUGCUUUCCAGCUUUUGUUUGAUUAAAAUGGUCCUCCCCCAAUAAUUGAAUUCUUUAUUCAAGAAGCAAAUAUAAAGGGAUACCUGUUAAUUAUGAAAGAUCAAAUUAAUAGUUUAUAUAAAGCAAGAGAUCGCGUAAGACAAAAAAGGACAAACCAAAGAGCUUGAAAUAAAAUUUUUAUUACAUAAUUUUAGACUAUACAAAAGAGAGAUAAUAUUCUUUUAUUAUAUCUCAUAAAUCUUAUUUUAUCUAUGUCAAGAUUGGAAUCCAAAAUCUUCUUAAAUUUUAAUUAUUGGUUGGGUAUCGUUUUAUGGACAGCGUUAACUAAAAUUAACCUAAGGAAAACUAAAUAUUCCAAAUUUAUGUUUGAUUGCUUUAUUUAUUUAUUUAUUUAUUUUGUUACGUAAAAGAAUUUUUUAAAUUGAAAAAAAAAAGUGCACAAGGAGAGGCAAAGGAAAAAAAAGGUCUCAAAGACCCUAAAGAUAAAGCAAACAGAGGAUUCUAGAACAAAAAAACUUCCAAAACAUAAUGAACAUAUAGACCAUAACCCCAAAGCAGCUAUAUAAAACAGUAAAACUAGAUGCAUACACAAAAGAACAGACCACCAUGUAAGAGAGACCUGGCAGUAUUUACUGGAAUCGAGA
RNAcentral lists this long non-coding RNA (50557 nucleotides) under Theobroma cacao (cacao). RNAcentral describes it as "long non-coding RNA (TCAC_LNC002582)". The record is from RNAcentral. Lineage: Eukaryota; Viridiplantae; Streptophyta; Magnoliopsida; Malvales; Malvaceae.